AUUCAUGCACGGUCUUGAAUCAUACUCUUCAUUUCCUAGAACGAGUUUUCUUAGGGAUCUGACCAGAGCAUCUGGAAACAAAAAGGUAAACUCAUAAUAAUUUUGUUUUCUUAUAAAAAAAAACAAACGAAAGGAAAGGAAUGACAUAAUCAAACCACCUUGAAUUUGGUUGCCUUCUUUCCUUGUGCUAGUUUCUUUACAUGCUUUCUUCCAAUUUUUAAUGUGUGAUUUAAUCCUUUCAACGAAUACAGAAUCAGCAACAGAAAGGGUAGAAGUGGAUUCUGUCACAUUCUUUGCAAGUAUUGGAUUCCCCAUCUGAAUUUUUGCAGUAGAUUCUUGUUCUCUGGACAAGUAUGAGAUACCUAUCAAAUCAGAAGAAUCACACAGAUUUUCAAAAACAAGCUCAAUACAUGGAGGCAGCAGACUCUACUCGACACUUGUCAUGCUCCUAAAAUGAUACUGGAAUACAUUCACUAUCUAUUUCAACAGGUAAAAAAAGAAAAAACCAAAUAUGGAUGAUUCUUACUUUGAUUAGGCUUAGACUUGAGAGUGGCCAGUUGUUAGUGCCAAAAAUAACUAUUAACUCAACCUUAUUCAAUGAUUUGAGUGAGAAAGCAUCUUAACCUUGGCUCACUUCUAUUUUCUUUAAUUUAAACAAUGUGACAUUCUAAAGGAUUUAGAAUAUAGAAGAAAGAAUUAGAAUCCAAAUUUGGAAAUUCUUAGAGUACACAUAUGAAGCAAUGCAACUUUAAGGGAAUACAUACCAUCCUUUAUGCAAGAAUUAAAGUCAAAACCUUGGCGAGCCAUAGAUAUCAAAGACGAGGUUUGACAAUAAAAACUGUAAGAAGGCAUUUCCAUCUUUAGUUCAGCUCUUGGGAACAAGUGAAAAUUAUAUCUGCGCCAAAAGCAAUAUCCAGUUUUAGUUCAUCAUCAAUUCUAGAUUUUAACAGAACAAAGAUUGGUUAAAGAUUGUUGUACUAACGGGUAGGCAGUGACUUUAGAAGCCCUGACAGUGAUGGGGCAAACAGCGAAAUGAAGAACCUGGAACCUUUCAGCGGCAUACUUGGCUUUUAAGUAAGCCGUGUCGGCGGUGUCAAAAGGGGAGACGCGUUGCCAAGGGGCGGAGAAGGAGCCGGUGUUUUGCAAGGACACGGCCACAAAAUCAGAAUUGGAGACAUGGGAUUUUAUAUCCUUAAGAGUGUCAGCAAAGUUUGAUUUUGUGACUUGCUUUAUGCUCCAUUGCUGGUGAGGUUUAUGGUGGGUUUUAGUCACGCUGGUGCUUAACAGGCGCCUUUGCAGCAGUGGGGAGACGGCAACCAUUUUUAUUUUUCCUUUUAUCCGGCGAACCAAGGGAACUAGGGAGCAGAGAGAGCAGGUAGAUCAAGAUGUGGGCUAAUUGCUUAUUGUUGAUGAAGUCGAAUAUGGGCCAUGGCCCAAUUUUUUCAUGGGCUAUUCUUCACCAGGCCGUGAAAGAUUGCAAGACUCUCUCUCUUUAUGUUAAAGACAAUAGAGGUGCCCCCUGGUGCUUGUUAGUUGGGGAUCAGCACAGGUUGGAUCCUCGUAUUGUUAGUAAUUUUUCAUGAGCGUGUCUGCGCGGAAAGUACGGUGGAAUUUAUUUUUUAAUAUUUUGUAUAUAUUAAAAUAAUAUAUUUUAAAAAAAAAUUAUUUUUGAUAUUAUUAUAUUAAAAUGAUAUGAAAAUAUUAAAAAAUAAUUAUUUGAAAUAAAUAAAAAAACUAAAAAAAAUUAAAUUUUUUAAAAAAUAUUUUUAAAAUACAAAAAUAAUCUAUCUUGAUAAUAUAUAUAUAGAUGGUGACUUUUUGUUCUAGACAAGGUUGUCGAAAACGCUUUUUUGACACGACACGGAACAUACAAUAUAAACUCGACUCGUAAACUCGAAUCAUAAAAUCGUAAAAUCGAAAGUAAAUUUUUUUAACUAAAAAUCGUAAAAUCACAAGUAAAAUAUUUUAACUGAAAUCGUAAAAUCGCAAAAUAAACAUCCAAACAUCUUAAAAUACAUAAUUCAAAUACAAGUAAAAUAAACAAUACAAAUAUCCAAAUAUCUUAAAAUACACAAUAUUCAUUCCUGUUCUUGAAGAAACCAUAGAUGAUGGGGAAACAGUCAGAAGAAAAUGUCUCUGUCUACAAAGUCAACAAAUAAAAACAAAAGAAAAUACGUAGAAAGUAUGGAAUCUCGGAUCUCACAAUAAAUCUACAGCAUGAGUUGAAUGUAAGAAUUGGAGUAGAGGUUGUUCGGAAAUUUGUUUCUCUCUAAGGUUAAAUUUAGCAGACACUUCCCAAUAUUCAUUCCUGUUCAGCUAAGUUUUUGAAAUUUGAAUAUCAAGAGAUUAAACACACUGCCUUCGACCUUUCUUUUUUGACAGAAAUUUUCUCCCACCUCUCAAUUAACAUCCUUCAUUGCAUAAUAACUGGACAAGAAUACAAUAUGUAAUUGCAUAUGCAAGCCCGAUAAAUAGUAUUAAUGCCCAACACAUAGAAUAGAAGUUGCCAAUCAUUGACUUUGUUCCAGCCAUAAAAGACAAGAACAUGAACUUACCAAUUCCAGAUUCAACCUGUAUUCAACAAGGUAAAAAUUGUACAAGCCAAAGUCUCAGCAAAGACAAAGAAGCCAGGCAAUGCUCUUAGCAUCAAUUGCCCUGCUGCCACCAAAUACAAUGCCAAUUUCCAAAGGAAUUGAAAUGUUUGUUUCCCAGUAUUUAAACUACAGAAGUAUGGCAGGUGACAACAUGUAAUCUAAUGAUUUACAAUUCAUAAAAAGGCAACAGAAGCACGGCAAAAGGCAUUCCAAUCCAAGACUGACCUAUCCAGUAAUACACAUUGAGAAUUAAAUGCAAAAUAUAAAAAACCUUAACACAUUGAAAACCAGCAAUCUUAGUUACAAGAAAUUACAACACACAAAAACAGCAAGCAAGAAAUUAAACAGAGCCCUCUCGUAUAAGAAAUUUGACAUGAACUGCCACACAUACACUCUUUUCUUUCAUUCACAUUUGAAAAUUUUCAUGCUUAUCAACAGAUGCAUGCAUUUCAUCAACACAUCUUGGACUCUCAAAUUUCAAUGAGAAUAUAAUAUUUCAAGGCCCUAUUAGCUAGUAAAACAAUGAACUUGACUGGAUAAAAACACAAACAGGAAAAAAGCUAGUGGUGGAAAAAGAAAACCAGAUCCAUGGAAGUGCCUUGGCAGUGAACUUACGAGGAGUUUCCACGUUCAUACAAGAAUGCAGCAGGCUUUUCUUGUGUCCCAGUACUGAAAAUAAAAUAAGGCAGUCCAAGAGUGCAAUCCUAGCUGGAAUGCUUCGUUGUCUAUGCAAAAUUGCAGAAUCUGCAACACCAAAGCAAGCAAGAUCAAACACAGAUUCAGAGCAGUGCAGCACAACUCCCCCUCCGAAAAAAUACCCAGCACUCCAGCAGCAAACCAAGUAAUAGUAGAAUACCCAGAAGAUAAACACAAAUUCACAGAAUACCUAGAUAAUUUUUGUCUAUAAUCACCACCAUUAGACAGAAAAAACAAAGCUUGGGAUUGGGAAUCAAUUCUUACCUUCGUCUCGCCAAGAACGCUCCGGAUCGGGGGAAUGUGAUUUUUUAAAUUGCUGGGGAAAGGGAAAAGGGGAAAGGGGAAAAGGAAAAGGAGUCGGGGAGACUGGGAGAGUGGGAGACGGGGACUUGGAAUUUGGAAAGAGAGUGGUCACUGGUGCUGCGGUGCAGUGGUGCUGAGUCAAAGGAGCAUUUGUAAUUUUGCAUUUCUAAUUGUCUGCAACUCUGGUUACUCUGCAUUUGUCAUUUGGUGAAACCGUGAAACGGUAGUGAAAGUGAAAGUUUUGGUUAACUCGUUAAAACGUUACGUUUUUUACGAGUCAACCCGUUUUUAUGCGAGUUUGACCGAGUCAACCUGAUUUUGCUGGUUUUCGAGUUUUAACCCCGAUUCUGCACGUUUUUUGUGUUUUAACUCGUAAAAUCGGAUGAUUUUACGAGUUAAAACGCAUUUUUAACAACCAUGGGUGGAAUCCUGGUCCAAGCCGAAAGUUCUAAAGUACUAGGCUCUGGCCCACAUCGUCACGGGACCAUCAACCCUGACUGCCCUCUAUAUUUUCAGUCUAGCCCCGUUGCUAGGUAGUUGACUAGGAGCGUGUUUGGCAGUGUGGUUGCGGGUGCUUUUCAAAUAGCUUUUCGUGCCGAAAUGCAUGUCAAUGAUGUUUUUUUAUUUUUUAAAAAUCAUUUUUGACAUCAGCACAUCAAAACGAUCCAAAAAGUACAAACCACACUCAAUUUUAGCAAAAAAAAAAAAUUCAAAUUUGGACGAAACGCAGGUGCAAACGCAAUACCAAACGCUCCCUAGAUGUUUAUCUUUAAUCCAGAGACCACCUUGAAAGGAUUUGGAUCAUCGGUUUAAUUCUUGACUAAGAUGAUAAUAUUUUUAUCUAUUUGUGUUGAACCGGUCAAUUUUAAUUAAAGUUCGAUUUAAUUAUAUGGAUCACUAAAAACUCGUUCAGCCUAAACUAAUCUAGUUAGAUUAAUAUAUUAUUUUAUUUAAUUAAAAAACUAACCCGAGUAAAGUUUUAUAUCGGUUCAUUAAAACAAAUGGAGUUUAGCAAUCAUGAUAGUUAAUCUCAUAGUUUCGAAACCCGGCCGGGCCCGGCGGGUCGACCCACGACCCGGGGCUGGAACGGGGCUGGGCUGAUGAAAAAAUAGGAUAAGCCAUGACCCGGUGUGACCUGGCAAAACCCGGUUGCAACCCGUUGACUUUUGUAUUUUUUUUUACUAAAACAACGCCGUUUUGAAUUUUUUUUAAAAUAGGGAUUGACCUGGCCGACCCGGUCAAAACCCGGUGACCGGGUCAAAACCCGGAACCCGGGCCUUGGACCGGGCCGGGUUUAAAAACUAUGGUUAAUCUACCUCUCUUUCCUAUUUUAUUUUUUUUUUCCUUUCCUUUUUCCCCUGGUCUGAGGUUAUGCUUGUUUCGUUGAAAUUUACAUAUAUAUAUUUGACUAAUUGCAUUAAUGGGAUUCAUUUAUAGUGAUUUUUCAACUGGAGAGAAGAUUCAAUACUUUGAAAUUAGGCUGGUUUCGUCCAUGGAAUCAUUUAUGGAUAGUUGUCCGAGGGGAAACGAAGACCCACACUCCUAUCUUAUCUCAUCAUCGUUUUAUUAUUUUUCCUCUUUGCAACCCACCCUCAUUAUUAAAGGAGGAUGCCUUUACCUGCAGGCAUCACCGCCCCAGAGAUUGAGAUAAGCACGCCAGUGCAUCACAAGAUUUUCAAAGAAAAAAACACGAGCAACGUUGAAUAAAAGAAAAUCGUGAACCACGCAUGGCUUGUCUUGAGCCGGUCUUUCCGAGGUCGACCUGGCAAAGACUCAUGGCAGGUGAGCUAAUUAGAUGAAACCCAACUUUUUUUAAAAAAAAAAACUCUAGAAAGAUUUUGUUUUUUUUUUUUAAAAAUCCGGGAUUUUUCGUUAACUUAAGAUGUUUUUUUCUUAAAAAAUCGAGUUUCUCCACCAAAUUAAUCCGACUGGUCCCGGCUAUCCGACCCUUCAAGCUGGACUGCAAAACAAUGGGUUUUUAGUUCUGAUACUCUUGAAAAUUUGACAGAAUUGGUGCCAUUCAAAUUUCUAAAUCCAUUUUUCAAAGGAAUGUAUUUAUGGAGACGCUGGCAAGCGUACUUUUUCUUUGUGGUAGUAAAGUUAUAUCAAUUUCGAACUUUAUUUUCCUCUACAAACGUAUCUCAAAGGAAUUAAAUUAGAGACAUAGAAAAAGCUAUGGUCUAUAGAUACAUCUCAGGCACCUUUUGGGUUAGGUGGAACAGUGAUUUUCCAAGAAUGUGAUGGCAAGUGGUAAAACAAAACAAAAACACAGACAGCGAGGUCAGAGUCUCGAGCAGGCAAAGAUCUUGAAACAGCCCGGUGAUCUACCUCUUCGAAGUAUGAUCUAGACUGAAUUUUAUUUAGCAAAAAUUCUGAAACAAUCCGGUGAUCUAGCUGUUCGAAGCACGAUCUAGACAAAAUUUUAUUUUGAAUUAUUCUCAAUGCUGACUUGAUUAGAAUUAGGUGAUAUAACAUGUCCAGUUCAAAGUUCAAACACAGUUAAAUUAAAACCAAUAAUUCCUUUUGUUUUGGCUUUGUUUGAGUAGAGUUUGGCAUGAAACAUUUGGGUUAUAAAUUACCUAAUUUUGACUGGAUUAAUGUUCAAAGCAAAUCCAAUUUGAUUCCACCAAACUAAUAGCAUGAAUCCUAAACAUAUUCAAACCGACUUUGACAACCAUGAACAAAAUGUUUAUUAAGGUUUUGUUUGUUUAUGUUGUCCUGUUUGUAUUUUGUUUUAAUUAUAAAUUUAAAAAUAUUUAAUUAAUUAAUACUCAAAUAAUUUUACAUAAAUCUCUUUAAUUAUUUUUUAAUCUUGAAUAAAAAUAACUACAAUUUAUAUAUUUUUUAAAAAAUUUAUAUUUUUAAAUUAUAAUCGUAAAAGUUAAUACAAUACUAAACACAAAAAAAAAAUUAAUUAAAAAUAUAUCAAAAUAAUCAAUUUAGAUUUUAUUUUUUAGAUAAAUAUAUUAAAAUCAUCUGAAAUAAUCUUAAAAAUAUUUAUCUGAUAUUUGUUUUAAAAAAAUAAUUAAAAAUCACUUGUAAAAGGCAAACAUGCCGAGUCACCAUGGGUCCAGUUGGUUGAUUGUGCACUUUUUAGACACCCAGCAUAGUGUUAGCCUAUUUGGGACCCACAUCACCGUAUAAACUUAGCCAAAAAGCAAAAUAAAGAUGCAGAAUAUGCUUUGCUCUUCCCUGCAAAUAUCCUUUCCCUCUCCUUCUCUUCUGUUUCGAUCCCUUUAUUACUUCUGUCUUCUCCACUUCCCCCAUCGAAAACAAAAGACCUUCCCCUUCUCGCUGCUUCUUCUCUUUGCUUUGAUAAAAAAAGAUGGAGCUUGUUAAAGAACUGUUUGUGACUGGUGUUAUUGCUGUUCUGUUCUCCUUUCUCAUAGCCAAACUUGUUUCUAUGGCCAUGUCCAGUGGUGAUUCUAGCCACCACGAAGAUUCUCAAACUCAAAAUGUUGAUCGAGAAGCUUUUUCUGCAGCAGAGAUUGUCGGUGAAGAAGAAGAAAAGGGGAUGAUGGAGGAGUUACGGUAUCGUGAAAGAUUGGAAGUUGAGGGGCUUAAGAGCGAAAUGAGAACGGAGUUUGUUGAACAAGUAACAGAAAAGGUCUAUGAAUUUGUUACAGGAAUUUCUUCUGUCGAGCACGCUAAAGAUUCAGCAACUCGUGACGAGAUACUACUUGAAAGUGAAACUGAGGUUCAAGAAUUGAUCGAGGCAAUUUUAAAAGAAGAGGAGGAAGAAGACAAGCUAAAAGAAGGUGACUUUUACGAUGAAGACGUCAAGCAAGUAAACCUGGUUAGUUCUAAUAGAGAAAACAGAGAAGAGGAACCGAUUGGCGUUGAAUUAAACGUUGUCGAGGAGAUUGGGGUUGCUGGGAGUGAUUCAAAAGAGAGGAUUGAAGAAAUUGAAGUUAACGAGGUCGAGGAUGAUGAUGAUUGGGAAGGGAUAGAAAGGAGUGAAUUGGAGAAAAUAUUUGGAGAAGCAGCGAAGUUUGUUGAGGAGUCAGGAAACAAAGAUGAGAGAUUGGCAAGUGUAGGGAGCGAUUUGCAGAUGGAGUUGUAUGGACUUCAUAAGAUUGCUACUGAGGGGCCUUGCAGGGAGCAGCCUCCCAUGGCUCUCAAAGUUUCUGCUCGUGCUAAGUGGUAUUAAAUUUUGCUAAAUUAACAUAAUGUCUCUGCUUUUCUCUUUUUUUUCUCUGUAUUCUGUAUUCUGUUCUCUUAUUGUUUGCUAAAUUGUCGAAUGAGAGCAGAUAAACGUUUUCCAUUAGGGGUUUUAAGUUUGUCAGAGGAUAGGAUAAGAUAGUCUUGGGUGAGAGAAUAUGGUUUAGUGAUGCACAAAGUGAAGAUUCACGGCAUGUGGAUCAAGAAUUAAUGGAUGUCAAACAAGGUUAGAGUCUUUUAUUUAGAAAAGAAAAGGAAAAAGAAAAUCAGAAUACGAACACAUGGAAAUCGUUAGAAAUCCACGUCUGGACAGGUAGUACUACUAUAAAUGAUGUUUAUAUGGCCAUUUUGUCUGUUUCCCGCCAUGCUUAGAUCUACCAUAGUACUUUCUUGUAGAAAAAAACCCCAAUGAUCCUAUUGUCUUUAUUUGGAAACUUAGAGGUGUUGCUUUUGCCGCUCCAACCUUUUCACGAUUGGUUUGGUCGAAGUCCUUUUCCUUUUCCUCCACCCUAGAUUUUUUACUGGUAUUGAUUCAAUUGUUUGGAAAUAGCCAAAAAGCCAGAAAGCUUAUCAAACAAAUUACAAGAUAACGGCAGCCAUCAGCCAUAAUCUUGUGCUAGAGGGAUUGUACACCUAAGAAAAAGAAAAUGAAAGCACAGAACAACACCUUAGGGGCUGCCUAUACCAAAAAAUUGCACGGUAUAGUUUGAUAGUUAGUUACAAUAACAGGGUUGACAGCUGCUAUGUGUGAGUGAUCGAGGGCACUGGUUACAAUGUGCAAGGAAUGCUUGGCAAAGGCUGGGAAACAUGAGUCCAGAGGCGGCUAUGGAGCAGUAUAUUGCCCUUGUAUUGGAGAGAGCACCAGGGUGGAUGGAAGAAAAACCUAGUGUAGGUAUUUUCCACUGCAGCGUAGAGCACUUGUGUUUCCUGUAAUGACUUUGAACAAUCUCUGGUUAAUUUCGUUUUACAGGGAGACAAUAAACCAGGAUCAUCUGAAGUGGAAAAUCUUGUUGCUGUGACUCCAGAUUUAAGUACAUUACCAUCCCGUCAACCAAAUUUUACAGAUGAAAUGUAUGUCCUGAAUGUUUGGCUAUUUCCCCCUUCAAUCCUUUAUUUUUUAGUCUCGUUUCUGUCUUUUCAUUAGCUUAUUAUUAUGUUAUGAUACUAUCACUAUUCUCAUAUGUAGGACAUGUAGGAAUCCAGAACCGAAGCCUGUUGCUGAAGAAGGCGAUCCGACAGGGGGCUCAAACCUGGAUAGCAGGUUACAAAUUGUUAAUUCAUGCAUAUUUCUUUCUCUUCCAUAUGCCUUAUUCUCCUAAGCUGUUGCAGGAACUUGAGGGUUCCUGAAAAGGUUUGAAUAGAAAGUUGUUAGUUUCAUAGGACAAUAUGAUUAAUGUAGUUUCCAUGCUUUGCACAGCAGAAAGGUAGAAAAUAUUUUACAGAAAUCUUUAUUUGAUGUCAUUUAUCAGUAGUCUGAUUUAUAAGGUUUAUCUAUAACCAGCACUUGGAAAACAAGCACCAGCGUUAUAGUAACAACUAAAAUUUCCCCUGGGUAGCUCAGGUGGUAGGGUAUGGGAGUUUGAGUUGAGAUCUUAGGUUUUUGACUUAAAGUUCUCCACCAAAACAAAAAAAAAGGCCGGUGGUUUCUGUCUAUUUUGAAUAAUCCUUAAUUACCUCUUGGAAUGUUGUAGAGGGUGUUUUCCUCAAAUGAGGCUGGGAAGAAAUCCCUUUUCAAGAAAAUCAGAUCCCUUUAAAGAAUAGUUUUUUAUUGUUGAAAAAGAAACCACAGGCAUCACGCUAUAAAUGUAAGAAAAUUUUAAGGAAAAUGGGUGGAUGAUCAUCAUUUCUUGCACCACCACAUUCUUAUGUGAAAAGUUUAUUGAUUCUGCCACUUAUUUCAAUGAAGAUUCUUAUUUACCUGUCAUCUGUAACUAGACAAUCACCAGUGACAAUCUAUGAGGAAUCUGCCAUCCAGGACUUGGGUCAUAUUCCCGAGCACUGCUCUAGUGAAUUUUCAUGUAGUCUCGCUACUCAUUUCUUUCUUAUGGAAGGGUCAUGCUUGCAAUGAUUUCAAUAUGCAAGCCAAUUAGGGCUGCACAUAACCUAUUUAACAUGAAAUUUUUCAGGCCAAAGAAUGACAAGCAUUGCCCUGCUGCUUGAGAUAACCAUGGAGCCCUUCUCCUUUGGCUUGACCACAAACAAGACUGAUUACUGUUGCCAAGUAUAAUCUGUUUCAAGUAUGUAAGGUUCUUGCCUGUUUAUACUAUCAUUUAUUUGUCCCUAGAAGUGAACUAUGCAUUGUGUGAUACUAGUAACAUUUAUGCGUUGUGCAUUGAUGCAUUUGUAUAUAUACCCUGCUGGCUGGAAUCAUUGAAUUAUAAUAUGAUGUUUAUGCACCAUUCUUUCCGAGGCAUGGUUAAGACUCGAUGCUUAUGCCAGUCUUUGUGGUCCUUUGUUUGACUCUUUAUUCUAAUCCAUGAGAAUAUAUGAAGCGAUGUUGGCAUUACGUGAAAGGAAUGUGCUAAGAGUUUUGCACUAAUUAUGCUAUUUUUGCCAAAUACUUAUCGAGAAUAAAUUCACAUGCAAUUGAAGUGCUCCUCACGUUUGGAAUUGUUGAGAGGGAAAGUAGUUGUCUAUAGUCUCUCUAUUUCUUUUGGUAAGAACUCUCCUGUUUCUUCCCUAGCAGUAAACUCCAAUAAUAUGGGGCAUCCCUUGAUGUUGAUUGGGAUUUAGAUGAGACAGGGUGGAUAUCAUUCACUUGGAGUUUAGACAUGGUCAACCGAGGUAAGGGCAUUUUUUGGGUGUACAGCCCUUAUAAGUAUAGAAGUAUGGAUCCGUAAAACAAUUUGCAAGCAUUUCAUGGUUGCUGGCAUGGCAAGUUACACGACCAAGGCCAUUUGGGUCCACCAGAAUUGUUCCAAGGGCUCUCAGAUUUUAAUUUUCCGUGUUGGAAGUGCAUAAAUAAGUUAGAUUUCGUUUCAAUUGUUAGGGACGGCUUCCAUAUUUACUGUUUUAUCGCAUUUAUUUGUGGUGGCAAUGGAUGACCCUAGCACUGGAUACUGAUAACGAUUGCUAUUUAUUAGAGCAUGCUGCUAAACAUUGACAAACUCACUAAGAUAGAGAAUGCAUAAAAAGCUACUAUGGAGGUUUCAUCCUUAUCCUCUGCUUAAAGACACUAGGGAAAUUAGUAAUUCUUCAUUGGUGAAACAUAGGGGUUCUCGUCGCCAUAUCAAGAUCGGUUUUCUGACCCAGAUCCUGUGAUAUGGACAUUGUUGUGAUCAUAUCCCCCGCCUCCACCACCACCUAUGCCUCCACCAUAACCCGAGCCAUACCCAUUUCCUCCACCAUUACCACUCGAACCAGACCCACCUCCAAAGCCGCCACCCCAGCCGCCACCAAACCCGCCACCUUGGCCCAUACCAUUCCCAUUCCCAUUCCCAUUCCCACCGCCACCGCCACCGCCACCUCCACUGCCGUAGCCCCCGCCACUGCCACUGCCGUAGCCCCCACCUCCACUACCCGGUCCAUAGCCCUUAUCACUACCAUCGCCUCGUCCACCCCCUUGUCCAUAACCACUGCCUGAACCUGCACCGUAACCACCAGAAGACACCCGAUAUCCAGCCUUCACUCCGAGUACACGUUUCACCUCAUGGUCCAUAAAACUUCUGCCCCUCAAUAAUCUCCCUUCUUUCUUUGCUUCAGCGAGCACAUAACUACAAAGGCCGAGUCCUAAGAGGAUGAGAAGCCAAGACACCACAUGUUGUCUCUCCAUACCUCCUGUCACUCAAAAAUCAACUGCACCUUGACAAAGAACCAACCUUGCUCUUAGAAAAACAACACGGAUGAGGAAGACAGAAAAGAAUAAAAAAAAGAAGAUGAAAAUCUGGUACAGUGUCUACUGUCUAGUAGCCUCUCUCUUAUUGCAAGCUCACUGGUAAUAGUCUGAGUAUUUGUUGGUAGUGGUAGUGGCCUGAAGGCUAAAGCUAUAUAUAGAAAUUUUACCUUUAGCUUCUAGGAGCUAUGAAGCAGGUUCAAGGGGUGGGCAUCCCUGCAGAUUGUGCCUGAUUGGGUGACGCGUGCCAGCUUAAUCUGGUGAUGGGAGCUAUAUGCAUGAGCACAAGGGUACUGCAAUGCGGUUUUGGCGUGUGAGUUUUGGGUGUCAUGGACAUGGAAGUUAGUUUCUGGGCUAUAGGCCUUAGCUUGCGAUUACGGCCUUGUUGGUGAGGCCAGAGUCGAAUUUCAAGUGGCCACACAGGCUAAAUAAAUUUACGUGAAAGUGUCCUUCGUGUUCAAGACUUCUUCGAGUUAAAGAUCAAAGAAUGUGCUCUCUGGCGCUUCAAACAAGAAUACGAUUCCAGCAGGAGGAAAAUGAAAAAUAUUUUUCUUUCAAAGUAAAAUUUAGCUCAAUUUUUAUAAAAGUAUUUUUUUUAUUUUAGAUUGAAAAUACUUUUUAAAAGUUGUGAAAAAUUCAGAAAUAUCAUGUUAUUUACUAAUUAUAUCAAUUUUGAUCAUCAAACUUUUGAUUGCUAUAUAUUUUGUUUUAAUUUUUUUUUUCAAUUUCACCCCUUAGAAUCUGAUUUAAUUUGAUUUUUAUAUCAACUUUGAUCCUUAUUUUUAUGAUUAUUAUUUGCUUUUUUCUUGUUAUUUUUUUCAUUAAAAUUUUGUAUCUAUUAGAUUUGAUCCUCCUUCUUUUGUUUGUUAUUUAUUUUAUUUAAAAUAAUUUAUGAUAUUAUAUUUUUUUUAUUGCAUCAUCUUUCAAUUUUUUUUAUCUAUUAGGUUUGAUCUCUAUUAUUUUAAUUAUUAUUUAUUUUAUUUGAGAUAAUUUAUAAAAUUAAUUUUUAUCUUCAAUUUUAUUCUCAUUCAACUUCUAAAUUUUUAGAUUUAUUUCUCAUUAUUUUAAUAAACUUGAAAAAAAUAUUAAUAAGUUAUUUUCCAGCUCAUUUUGAAUGAUAUAGUCAAAUACUGAAAAUUAUUUUCUGAUUUAUUUUUUAUAACAUUACUAAACAUAAAAAAAUAACUCACUUCCAAUAAAUUUAUUUUUUUAAAAAAACUACUAUUAAUAAAUGAAUGGGGCCUAAUAAUUGUUGCACCAAAUAGGCUGGCUGUCGAUGGAAAAAGACUUUGCUUGUGAAUUAGAAGUUGGGGCGUAUGCAGAAGAGUGAUCAUGGGCCCUUCUAGUAUUAGGUAACCAAGAUUUCAUCUUUCGAUCCUACAAUCAAACCCAUAUUAAAGACAACGAAUAAUUCUUUCUGCUCGGAUCAUUACAUGGGUUCCACGAGAAUCUCAAGGACUGUCUGACGGCCCAUGAUUUCUGUUUGUUUUAACCAUGAUUAUUGAACUUGAUGUGUGUUUAUUCAAGGAAUCUAUUACUUGAAUGAAACCCGAUCUUAUUUGGAUUUUAAAUUAAAUUAAUUUUUUUUUUGGUAAAACCCAGUUGAUUUGAAUAGGUUUUUAGUAAUUUUAUCAAACUUGGUCUAAACCGUAAUAAUGAAUUUAUGUUUUUUUUAAUAAAACAAAGUUGUUUUAAUAAAAAUAAUUAAUUCAAUAAUCUAUAAAUUAUAAAUUGAUAUGAUAAUUCAAUAUCACAAAUUCUUUUCUGGGUCAGUUUUUAGACUUGACACAACUGUAUUUUCAGUUAAUUUAUGUAAAAACAAAAUUAUCAUUUAUUUCAUAACGAUGUUUUCGGUUUUAAAUAGUAUUUCAUGAAAAAACAAUUUACUUAAUUAUAUAUAUAUAUACAAAUUAAUUUGAGAUGCUGAUGUGAAAAUUAAAUUUUAAAAAUAAAAUAUAUAUAUUUUUAAUAUAUUUUUAAAUAAAUAAAAUUUAAAAAGCAACUUACAAAUACUCUCUUAGUUUAUUACAGUUUUGUCUUUGUUUCACGUGUCAGCAUUUAAUAAGAUAGCCAAUUCUUUCAACGAUGAGCUCCAGUGCAUUGAUGGGAUUUUUGCAAUAAUGUCUUUUAACAUCAAGGAAAAAAUUGAUUUAAUAAAAAUAUUUUUAAUUAUAUUUUUUGAAAAAAAUAUGUUUUUAUUAAAAUUAAUAAGAAAUAAUUUUUUACAUGUAAAAUAAAUAAAAAACAUAUUAUUUUAAUUUUUAUAAAGCAAGAUUUGUAAUACAAUUAUAUCUAAAAUCCAAUACAUCAAAUAAAAUCCUUGCCUUUAAGUUUUAGCCAUAUGGUAUGGAAAUAUUUUUCCUUCAUUGCACAUUGUAUUCAUAACUUUCAGUCUAGAGAUAACCAAUUAAAAAUUAUACCCGUCUUGAUAGAGCUCUACACUAGUCUAUUUGAAUGAAAACACGAAAUUACAUAUAAAAAAAAGUUGAGAUUUUUUUAAAAUAUAUUUUUAUUAAUAAAUAUAUUGAAAUAAUUUUUUUAGUUUUUAAAUUUUAUUUUACACACCGAUACAUUAAAACGAUUUAGAAAUACUAAAUCAAUAUUUUAAAAAAAUAAAAUAAAGCUAGAACUAAAAAAACAAAGAUAACAAGAACAAUAUUGUAUCAAUGUUUUCACACUAGCUCGAGUUGGGUCAGAUGCAAAACAACGACUUGUCAUAAUUAAUGAUUGUUGACUGUUCGUGAAUAGAACCCUACCCUCUGUAUAAUUGCAGGGGGAGGUUUUUAACUUUAGCCUAUGAAAAACUUGAAUGGCUGUGAGUAUAGUAAUCAGAGAAGAAGGACCGCUGAGAAUUGCGAGCAUUCAAGAGAGAAACGACUCCUUGCUGACUGCUCUCUCAAUUAUUUGGACUGUCGAUAUGCAUGGGACAGUGACAUGGUAGCAACUCUGGGAAGAUUCUGAAAACAUUUGCUGUGGUCGAUCGCUUUAUUUCCAAGUCUGCAACAGUGAACCUCAAUCAAUGCCUAAUGCGGCCGGCUUCCUUUCAAAUCUGCUCCUAACAAUCAGCGACUUUACGCGUGCUUUUUUAACCAGAGAAACCCCGGGUUGAUUGGAAAACAUGAGAUUAGAAUCUUACUGUAGCUAAGUUUUAAGUCACAUUCUCUCACUCGGCAAACUCGAUUUACUCGACUAGGUUAGCGCAUGCAAAACUAGGCAUGAUUUGUUUAGGCCAACACUAUUUCAUUUUAAAAAAUAAACUGAAACAAUGUUAUUUUAAGCAAAAAUAUAGAUUUGGGUUAUAUCAGAGGGAUCCUCCAAUAAUCUAAAGCGUUAUUGAAGUCGAUAAUUUAAAGUGAUUGGAGGAAAAAACCAAGAACUUUGAGUCAGUACUUAUCAACCUUCUUGGCAAUAAUUGACGAUUAAAAAAAAUUGCAUUUCUCGUCACUGUCCAAAUGCAGAGACAUGCAUGGUUCAUAACCUAAGUUAUUUUGGCACUGAGGAAAUAAUUUGAUCAGGAAAAUAAAAUGCAAUGCACGGUCAAAUCUCAGCAUAAUUAUAUAUUUUAAGUAAAAAUAUAAAUAAGUGAUUCUUAAAUUAACUUAAGAAUUCAAUAAUUUAAACUUUUACGGGUUAAAUUCUAAGCUAAAUUUGAUUUCAUGUUGAAUUUAAUAAUAACAAGUGAUUUCACUUUUUGUUAAAAAAAUAAAUAAAAUAUUUUUAUUUCGAUAAUUUAAAGUGAUUGGAAGAAAAAACCAAUAACUACAAGUCAGUACUUAUCAAUCUUCUUGGCAAUAAUUUAUGAUUAAAAAAAUAGUAUUUUUUUAUUAAUACGAGGAUAGCUUAAUUGAUCAGAUUUUAGAUUUGUAUUUUAAUGAUUACGAGUUUGAAUUCUCUCAGGGUCAUUAAAAAUUAUAUUGUUAUUAAUUUUAAAACUCGUAAGAUUAAUCGAGAUGCACAAAAACUAACCCAAAUACUCAUAUUGAUAAUAAUAAUAAUAAUAAUAAAAAUACACUGCCAUAUCAUAGCAUAAUCUUGUAUGGAGUGCAAGAAAAUCAGCGCACACAGCAGCCGUAGGAGUGGAGUAAAAGGGGGGCCUGGUACUGAAAAAAUAAAUAAAUCUUGGUAAUUUCUCUUUAAAUAAUUUAAAAUUUUAGGGUUAAAAUUAUUAAAAUUUAAAUUUUGGCCCUCUUAUUUUUGUUUUCUAAUCUAAACCUCAUAUAAAAAUUUCCUGGGUACGCCCAUAUUAAUUAUUAUUGUUAAUUUUCGGUCAAGGAUUGAUGGUUCUUGUGAUGAGUUUUCACGUUUUGGAAUUAAAUUUAUCUCUCUAUUAUAAUCUAAAGCAAACCAUCAAAAAAUUCACAAAAUUUCUUACUAGUUAUUGUGGGAUUCGAUAUAUAUAUAUAUAUAUAUAUAUAUAUAUAUAUAUAUAUAUAUAUAUAUAUAUAUAUAUAUAACCCGGGAUGUUUGGAUCAGUUUACGCACACCACGACUAAUCUCCGGGCCCACUAAACACUGUGCAAGCCUAGUGGGCAAGUAAGGCACCGCGGGGAUGAUAGACAUGCAUAGAGAAGAUCGAACCCGGAUGCAGAGGAAGGGAACAAGUCCCUUCCCCCACUAGACCACGACCUCAAGUGCGGAUUCGAUAUUUGAUAGAGAAAGAGAUGGUAUUUAUAUUUGUCAAACCCCGUUUCAAAAACAACUUGAAAAAGAAUCUGAGUUACCGAUCAUCACAUUAAUCUCUAAUCAUCAAUUUUUUUAUUAAAACGAUAACAAUUUAUUUUUCUAGAGAAAUUAACUUUGUCAGACUUGAACGGGUUAAUCGAAUCACUAAAACUCAUUCAAGUUAAAUUGGUUUAAUCAAAGUCAAAAUUCUACUUCAUUCAACUACAAACUCGACCUAAAUAAAACUUUUGAAUUAUAAAUUACUUGCAUCAACUCGGGCCAGAUAUAGGCAGCAUUUGGAAACAUGGCCAACUCGUGUUUUUAAAAAAUUAAAAUUUUUUUGCUAAAAAUUAAUAUUUUUUUAUGUUUUAGAUCAUUUUAAUACGCUGAUCUCAAAAAUGAAUUUUAAAAAAUAAAAAAAUAUUAUUUUGAUACAUUUUGACAUAAAAAACAUUUUGAAAAACAACCGCAACCACACUUCUAAACAGAUAAAUAAUACGACAUCUAUCAUGGUCAUGUAAUGAAAUAAAGAAAGUUGUAAUUUGAGGAGUGCCAAAUUGAUAAAACUCGUAUACAGAAUCGUAGAUAUGGAGGAAGGAACAAGCACUUGCUACCAUUGCCAUCCUUUUGUCCAUGGAAAUCUAGAUUCCAAACGAUCAUAAUCCAUACCCCACACUGCAAGGGGAUUUGUACUAGGACAGGGAUCUUAAUUAAGUUAGAGCCAGACAGCUCUUCAAAGAUUAUCAAACCACAGCCAACCAUUGUUUCUUUCCAUCCUUAAUUUCUUUUUUUCAUACCUUUUGUUUAAAGUGUUUGCCGACUAGACUGUUGAUAACUGAAAUUGAUGAGAUACCAGCACGAAAAGGAAGUUUCAGCAUGAAAAAAGGUCCAAUUUUCACAUUGUUUUCACAUAUUAACUACUCGAUCACGACACUGACUCCAUCAAAACCCAAAAACUGAAGGGAAAUGACUGGGUUUAUCUAUGUUAAUCACAUUCUUUAUGAUAAAAGUGUGAGAUACAAAUACUCUGUAGCAAAAUAUACUGCUAGAACAUCUGCAGCUACAUAUAUCUGUUGACAGUCACUAUAUUUACCGGAGGCAUUAAUCCUUAGUCGGGAUAAGUUUUAGAUUAUGUGCUAGUUGAGUUAAUUCUUAUUAAUUUUUUUUUUUAAAUAUUAUAAUAACACGUUUUGAUUAUUUAAAAAAAAAUAUAUAAUAAAUUAACUCGAAUUCUUAAUCCGAUUAUAUUGAAUCAACCCUGUUAAUUUUAAAACCCAGCCUAAAUGAACAGGAUUCUGAUUCGACAUGGGUGCCAGUCCGUUUCUCCACAGCUAAUCCGCAUUUAAGCAUGAAUCAAACAAAAGGCAGACUAACAAGUUAGGAUGAUUGAUGGAUAAGCGUGUAAUUAUUUACAUGUAGAAACUGUUCCUAGUUCUGAAACAAUCAAGCAAUUAUUAGUGCUGGUGGUGGUCCAUUCCAGCUUGUUGUCAAGAAAAAUAUGGCUGGAAGAUUGGGAGGAACACCCAUUUGGAUCUCUGCUGUGAUUAAACACUACAACGAUUCAAUUGUCUAAUCAAAGAAAAGGCUAUUUUUUCUUAGGGCCUUUAAUCACUUUCUGAUAAUUGCACAACAUUACCUAAUGUUCUUGGCUUUUCUUUUUUCUUUAAAGUAUUCUCGUAUAGUACUCGUUUCUCCACCAUCCAUUACUCAAUCUAGAUGCCCCAAAAUCUGACCUGUGACUAGGCAUCCACCCAUCACAGGUAUUGAUAAUUGACCAUCAACACAGUUGUUAGAGGGAUACUGGUUAAAUUUUGUUGGAUUCGACAUGUUCAUCUAGAAAAUCUGGAAUUAAAGCACUGAUUCGGAUUUGAUUUUUUUAGUUGAAUUGAACGGUAAAAUUCUUGAUUUUUAGUAAUUCAGUCCAAGUUCAAAUCCCGAUGAGUCAAUAUUAAAAAAAAAAGUAGUACUUUUCAGUUUAGUUUCCUAAUUGGAUGUAAAAACUAUGAUUAAAGGGCACGACUUCAAUCUUUCUGGAUAUAAUUGAGAUGAACAAUUAGUGGUAUUUCCACUAAACCUAAGCAGAUUAUUAUCUUCUGCAAGUGAAGUGAUGUGUGGGGUAAAAACAGAUCACAUAUUUUAUCAUAUCUUUUUCACCUAAACCAGAUGGGGAUAACAUAUAUUAUUGAUAACCAAAAAUUGCAAUCACAGAAAUAAUUGCCGAAGCUCUCUGAUGAUUGGCGUUCUUCGUAGCCAAGCAAAAAUCUUCGCCUAGUAAAACACACUUCGAUUGUCCUGUAUGAAAACUUUAUUUUCCCAAUAAAGUUGUGGAAGUGCAUGCAGCUAUAUUAUUAUUACGUUAAAGGAACGCAGGAUUCCAUGAUUUCUGACAAAUUUGAAAGCAUCAGGGAUUCCCAAGAGCACUUGUUCUUAUGCAUGAUGACCUGUAAAGUUUAGAAACAAUGACAGAUUGAACGAAUCCCUGCCCACCACUAAGGUCCAUCUCAUUUAUCCUCUUGAGUGGGAUUGUUCAGAUAGAACCUGCAAAUCAUGUGGCCAAACUGCUUGCGGAGAAUUAAGACAUGGAUGUAUACCUGCAUCCGUCUACAAAACAUUUGGCUGCAAGAAUUAAGUGCUUAUUAAUAUCAUUGAUCGGGCACUUUCUCAAGUGUCUUUGAGAGAAAUCCAAAGACAUUGGACUUGAAAUGCUAGCAAACGCCUCGGAAUCUUGAAUGUUACACGAAAUUUCGUAAUCCUUCUUCGACAUCCCACCCUUUUGAAUUGGAAGUUCGGCGUCCCAUGCAACACCUUUUUUGGCAAAAUACAUCACCUCUAGAGCUCUCCUUUUAACACAGAUAAAUAUGCCGGCCAUUAACUAGAAUGAGAUUCGGGAAUCCAGAUAAUGAUGCCACGUAAGAAAAUAAUUGAACUGGUCGACCCGGUAACUCAUGGAUAUAGAAUAUGGCCCGGCCAGGUUCGAACCGGUUUGAUUGGUUGAUACAACCAAGUCAAAUUUAAUGAAUUUUUUUUAUCCUGAAAUGAUCUAAUUAAAACCUGCUAUAAAAGCCUUCUAAGUCAGGUUAAGCCCGGACCCGUUUCGAUAACUAUGCCUUUUAUCGGCCAUCAUCGUGCAUGCCUACUUUAAUGCUUUUACUCGAGCAUUGAUCCUCAAACUUGAUUGGUUUCUAGAUAAAACAAAACUAGAGUAUACUACAGUAGUGCCAUUUGAAGAGAUUCCAGAGGUUAAAUAAUUAGUUAUAAAACACUGCUAAUUUUGAUCAGCUUCAUAACCUCCUCUGCAUAGCUCCGAAUCUUUUUCAGAGUUCUAAACAAUAAUUCAUUUGAGUCAAACCGGUUGUCAUCAUGCUAUAUAUAUAAACCUCAUGGAGACCUACCUUGGAGCCAAGAGAAUCUUUCCCUGUCCUAUGCAAACCUCACUUUCUAUUCUCCUUGCACUUUAAAAAAAGAACAGUCGUCAGAAGUAGAACACUAUACUGCCUGAAUUCUCCAACAUGAAGAUGGAAAGACAGGUCAUGAGGGUGAAAGACUUGAACCUCGGGCUUCAACUGAUAGCCACACUUCUGGUUCUGUGCUGCUGUUACACACACGCGGUAGCAGAAGAGAAGAGCCAGCAGACGAAGAAGACUUUCAUAGUUCACAUGGACAUGUCCAAGAUGGCAGCAACUUACGAAGAUCAUUUUCAAUGGUACGAUUCAUCUUUAAAAUCUGUAUCAGAAUCUGCUGACAUGCUUUACGCUUACAACAACAUAAUCCAUGGGUUUUCCACCCGACUCACACCAGAGGAAGCUGAAUUACUUGAAAAACAACCCGGAAUUCUAGCGGUCCUACCUGAAAUGAUUUACAAGCUGCACACAACUCAUUCCCCUGAGUUCCUUGGAUUGGGGAAAAGCGAUGCUGUGCCCCCUGCGUCUGCCUCCAUGAGCGAGGUGAUCGUUGGAGUACUAGACACUGGUGUCUGGCCAGAGAUAAAAAGCUUUGAUGACACAGGGCUUGGCCCCAUACCAAGUACCUGGAAAGGUACUUGCGCGGUGGGUAAGAACUUCAAUUCAUCGAGCUGUAACCGGAAACUGAUAGGUGCACAAUAUUUCUCAAAAGGCUAUGAAGCAGCAUUUGGACCUAUCGAUGAGACAAUGGAAUCGAAGUCACCAAGAGAUGAUGAUGGCCAUGGAACUCACACAGCAACUACAGCAGCUGGGUCAGCUGUCUCAGGAGCUAGCCUUUUUGGGUAUGCUUUUGGGACAGCGCGUGGAAUGGCUACACAAGCUCGAGUAGCAGCUUACAAGGUGUGUUGGUUGGGUGGAUGUUUUAGCUCUGAUAUUUUAGCAGCAAUGGAAAAGGCUGUUGCAGAUGGCGUUAAUGUCAUUUCAAUGUCCAUUGGAGGAGGAAUCUCAGAUUACAAUCGAGAUACAGUAGCGAUUGGAGCUUUCAGGGCAGUUGCACAGGGAAUUCUUGUCUCAUGCUCGGCCGGAAAUGGUGGGCCCAGCCCAGGCAGCUUGACUAAUGUUGCUCCCUGGAUAACCACUGUAGGUGCUGGAACGUUGGACCGUGAUUUCCCAGCUUAUGUGAGCCUUGGAAAUGGAAAGAACUACUCAGGCAUAUCACUUUAUAGUGGAAAGCCAUUAUCUGAUUCAUUGUUGCCACUUGUUUAUGCUGGUAAUGUGAGCAAUUCAACAAGCGGCAACCUUUGCAUGACAGGAACUUUGGUUCCUUCACAAGUUGCAGGAAAAAUUGUGAUAUGUGAUCGAGGGUUGAAUAGUAGGGUUCAAAAGGGCAUGGUGGUGAGAGAUUCCGGUGGUCUAGGGAUGAUUUUAGCAAACACAGAGCUGUAUGGAGAAGAGCUAGUCGCUGAUGCACAUCUUCUACCCACAUCCACUGUAGGGCAAAGAACUGCCGAUGCAAUUAAGAAUUAUGCCUUCUCUGAUCCAAAGCCAAUGGCCACGAUUGCUUCUGGAGGCACAAAGCUUGGAGUUGAGCCAUCGCCAGUGUUAGCAGCAUUCAGUUCCAGAGGUCCAAAUCUGGUAACUCCAGAAGUACUCAAACCAGAUCUAAUAGCACCAGGAGUCAACAUUCUGGCGGGAUGGACCGGGGCAGUUGGUCCAACUGGGCUAACAAGCGACAAGAGGCAUGUGAGCUUCAAUAUCAUUUCAGGUACAUCAAUGUCAUGUCCUCAUGUCAGUGGAUUAGCUGCGCUCGUCAAGGCUGCUCACCAGGACUGGAGUCCAGCAGCCAUCAAGUCCGCUCUCAUGACCACAGCCUAUGCAACAUACAAAAAUGGAGAGAACAUAUUAGACGUGGCUACGGGACAACCAUCAACGCCGUUUGAUUUUGGCGCCGGACAUGUAAAUCCAGUAGCAGCCCUUGAUCCUGGCCUUGUCUAUGAUGCCUCUGUUGAUGACUACAUCAACUUCUUUUGUGCUCUAAACUAUAGUGCAUCUGACAUUAAACAAAUCACAAACAAAGACUUCACUUGCGACUCGAGCAAGAAAUACAGUCUGGGGGAUCUUAAUUACCCAUCGUUCUCUGUUCCACUAGAAACUGCUUCAGGCAAAGGGGGCGGAGCUGGUGUAACAAGUACAGUCAAAUACACCAGGACUCUGACAAAUGUGGGUGUUCCAGCAACAUACAAGCUUUCCAUGACUUCAAAAACUCCGUCAGUUAAGAUCCUAGUUGAGCCAGAGUCCCUGAGCUUUGCUAAAGAAUACGAGAAAAAGACUUAUACAGUGACUUUCACUGCUACAUCCAUGCCUUCCGGUACAAACAGCUUUGCUCACCUGGAGUGGUCAGAUGGGAAGCAUGUUGUAGGCAGUCCAAUAGCUUUCAGCUGGACAUGAUCCGAAAUCCUGAAGAAAUCCCAUAAAUGAUUGUCAUUCACGGGACAAGUGCCUGAAUUUGUAUGUAUUUUCAAUCUCUUCCCUGAUGUUCUAACAGCUGUUCCAGUACAGCAAGCUGUUGCGUUCAUAAUUGCUCUCUGAGGUGAUCAGAGGGCAUAUAAAAAAGAAGGGGGGGAAAUAAUUGUACAGAGGAUAAUGGAAAGAAUUGUGUGAAUUGAAAAUGACUCUCCAGUUGCUUUUAGUGCCUCUCAAUCUGAAUCCUUUAACAAUUUACACUGCAUGGCUGAGAUUGAGGGACUUGAGUAUGUUUGCAUAGCAAUACAUCAAAUCAAACUGAGCUUGACAGGCGAGGAGAACAAAAAUGCUCACACACUGAACUUCUUGUGACUGCUUAGGUGAAAUUAACAUAUGCCCAAAAACUAACUGGGAAAAGGAAUUUUACAAAGCCCAACCUAAGAUGAAUAAGAUGAGGGGGUGUGAAAUCAUCAAAUACAUCCCUCGAGCUAAUUUAACUGAGAUACGAGGUACAAUAUAGACACAAUGUAGUGUUAAGUUCUAAUACCAAGAAAAUUUGUGGAUAUUCCUGCCACUCAACCGUUCUGACACCCUACGAAAUGAAUUCCUCCAUGUCAUUCCUUUACAUCGAAAGCAGAUAUCAAUUCUUAUUAACCUUCAUCUAAAUUUCAAAACUCUCCAAAUUUAGCAAUUGCCUGGUUCAACUGAUUCACUAACAGGGCUACGGCAUCAUAGAAAAAGUACUAACUAACUAAUUACUUUUGUUGCUAAUGCAUUUUUCAUAAUCUUAUAACCUAAGGUUCAUUCUUGAUCAAACAAUGGUAGGUUGCAUUCCAAUGCUAAAAUAGACUCAAAUUAACAAAAUGCAGUGAGCAAUCCAUCAACCUCAAGACAUUAGAAGGAUACUCCUAAAUUGCAUCAAUGAAUAAAAUUGUUACAAAACUGAACUGUCAAGUAUAAUUUAUAGAUUUCUAAAAAAUGGAGAAAAGGUUACAUCAUGAAUCCUCGAUAGACUGAGAAACAGGGAGAUAGUAUGUAUCAAGCUGCCAAUACUUGUGUCUCACACCUUGCCAAACUUCUUCUCCCAAACAAUCCUUAACAGGCAAGGGAAUUAACUGUGUAGAGUAGCCCAAGUGCUCGAGUUCUAGCGAGACUAAAUUACAGUAAACAACAUGGAAGAACGCGUUACCUCCACAAAGUCCAUUGAAAAAAGAGUAGAUUCCUCCAGGCUUCAAUAGCGCAGGUAAGUGUUGGUGAAACUCCCUCAGAUCUUCAUAAUAUUCUCCAUAAGUGUCAAAGAAAAUACCUGCACAAAUUUAGCCCAUAUUUCAGAAAGUUAUACAAUACGCAAUUGCUCUGCUGUCAUUUCAAAGAACACACUUCAUUAUAUAACUAUAAUUUUCAGUCCCUGCAAGGACAAAAUAGUUUGGUGACAUUACAAAACUUCUUGAAACUUUUCCUUAUGUCUGCAACACCGCUAAGACUUUACAGAAUGACCAAAAUAAUAUCCACACUCAAACUACCGGUAGAUAAGAAUUAUUCAAGAUAGAUUUAUAAGGAAGGUGGAGCAAUAUGAGAAGUUGAAACUCAAGUUAGUAUACUUCAUGACCAAACAUGAAUCCAUUUGCACUGCAUGCUCCCAAUGAUACAUUGUAUGACUUUUUCAAUGCUGACAUUAAAUGAAGAUCUACAAUGAGGAGUGGGUUAUUUUCUUUAGGAAGUUGAUGGGGUUUAAAUUCAAAAGAAGCACCAUUUCUGAGUACCUGUCUCGUGCACACACCACAAAAGAAUACAGCAUAUUAUAUUCCUCGUAUGAACAUAAAUUCAGAUAUACAGUGCAUCUUCGCAAAGAGAAUCUGCUUAAGAGCUAAACAAUAAAUUACUACUCUAUUGUGAGUUAAACAAGCAGUGCAAAAGCAUGCAUUCUCAAUUUCUCAUCAAACAAUACGAUGAACUUAUGAACAAACUGUUAGCCAGCAAUGUAGGUUUCUCUAACAAACUCAAAUCACAGAAGCUAUACAUUGUUACUUUGAAAUGACAACAAUAACAAUGCAUAUCACGAUAUGCCACACCCUUUUGCAAAAAUAUAAAUACAAACACAAUCAUGUUUAAAACGGGCAUCGUGGAUUUACCAUCAUAAGUUCCAAGUUGAGAAAGAACAUCUUGCCACCGCCCAAAUACUAUCUUCACAUUAUCCUUCUCACCCCAACCAUUUCGAAUCAUCCGUUCAUAAACCUCCGGAUGCGCCUCAACAAUCGUAUGCAUAGCCGGAUUAUAUUGUUGAAUAGCUGUAUCCACAAGCCCCAUUCCAAAGCCAAUGUUCAGUAUAUGACCACCACCUGAGCAAACCGCCUUUGCGUGUGCUUCCAUCAAUGGCUUCUCCCAAGCCAUCAUUAUCGCCUUGCUAUCCGAGUCCAUUAUCUUGUCUUCACUAAAACUAACCCUAUCUUCUAAGUAAUUCUCACCAUAACCAGAAUUCGACUUCUCUUUCCUGGCAAUUGUUCCUAAUAUUAACUCAGACUGAAUCCCUGUUCAAUUAGAGGUUAUUUUAGUAAUUAUAACGAAACCGAAGCUGUUUUAAUUAAUUACGAUUGGAGUUGAUUAAAGAGGAAGCCAAGAUAAAUUUUUUUAUCGUACCAGCGUUGAGGAGAGUUUCGAAGGCGUCUUGGUGGCCAGCUUCCAUGGCGAAGUCUCCUGCGGAGAUAUUGGAAGGAGAGAGAGCGUUCCACGGUGCGCCAGCUUCGAGGAGGUCCUUGACGAUAGCGGCGUGGCCGUGCUUGGCGGCGUGCAUGAGAGGAGUGAGGCCAUUGCUGUCGAAGUAAGUAACGUCGAUUCCUGAGUUUAUGAGAGAUUUAACUUUGUCUACGUCACCGUUCUUCGCUGCUUCGCAGAGAAUUUCGAAUUCGUCCAUGGCUGCGCGCGAUAAUAGUGAAACCCUGCUCCAGAGUCCAGUGACUUUUUAAGAAAUGGAGGUGCCUUUCUUUUGGAAUUCCCGGUGAGUCUGACGGCUAAGAUGAGAGCUACGUGGCAUAAUCAGGUAUGUUUCUGGUUCCUCAAUUUGGUUUGGUGGGCUGGAGCUGAUGGUUUUCUUGUGUGGGCUUAGCCCGAUUUCGAACGUAAUUGGGGGCUCUUUUUUUUUCUUAGUUAAUCUACACUUCGGCCUUGGGCUUUUGCCUUUUGAUUAUGAAUACCGGUCUGAAAAAAAAGGGAAAAAAAAAUCAAUUUCAUCUUACCUCCUUAAAACUAUAUAGGUUUUAUCGAUUAUUUUUCAAAAAAAAUUAUUUUUCAUCGAUUAGACAUUUUAUUCAAACGUGAUUGACUUUUGAUAAUUUUUAAGUAAUUUAAAACACAUAAUAAUAUUACUUAAUAAAAAUAAUUGAUUUAGAUUAAUUUAAUAAUCUACAAGUUAAUCCAAUAAACUAACUGCUAAAUUAAAAAAAGGAUCAAUUUCAUCUUACUUCCAUGAAAUUGUAUAGGUUUUAUUGAUUUUUUUUAUUAGUGCUAGCAUUUCAUUUAGACAUGAUUAAACUAGUAUUAAUUCUAAAAAAAAUAAAAAAUAUUAUUUUAAUAAAAAUAAUUAAUUCGAAUUUAUCUGAUAACGUUGGAGUUAAUCCAAGAACCCACUUACUCAAAUUCUUUUAGAUCAAUUAAGACAAUUAUUGUAUUAUCUGAAUGAAUUUCCUUGAAAAAAUCAAAAGCAAUAGAACUUGUCUGUACAGCAACAAAUUAAUACGGAUAAGGAGAUUUGGCGAAACAGUCCGAUUGCAUGGUAAAGUUCUUACUCUUAAUUUGGCGCUAGUGUAAUGACGUUUGCCAUAUUUUAUAUCCCAAAUAAAUCCACCAACUUUGACCGCAGUUUGAUAAACUGCCCGCGUUGAAACGUCAUCGUUCAGAAAUAAGUAAUAACACUCUCCUUCGCGGCAGCCUAACCAUUCGAGUACAGAAAUAACCUCGGUCGUCGAUGCAGUUUAUUUGUUAAAAUCCUGUGGCUCCAAUCAAACACAAUUAAAAUCAUUAAAAAAAAGCACCCCCCCCCUUCUCUCGCAAAUAUUUAGAUUGCUUUGGAUCCGCAUCUGCAUUCAAAUGCUGUGAAGAAGCUUAAUACUCACAGAAUCUACAAGGGAGGGUUUUUUUUUCUUCUAUUAAUUUUUGUUUUUUUUAAUGGCUUCAAGUUUUGAUCGGUGGGAGAAGGAUCCGUUCUUCUCUGCGGCUGAGGAAGUUCAAGAAUCAGCAGACAGGUACCGUUUCUAAUUAAUAUUAGCUAAUUUAUAGUUUUUUCAUGAGAGAUUUGAAUUUUUAUUAUUUGUUUCCUGAUUAAAUUUAGUUUUUUAUUAGAGAUUUUCAUAUUUUCCUGAUUAAAUUUAGGUUUUUUUUACGAGAGAUUCUGACCUCACCUCUUAAGUUUCGCUUGUAGUACUAAAAAAUUUAGGUGAAACAACACAAUAUUUGAUUAAUUUAUUGUUUUCGUACUUUUAGGAAGCGAAGGCAAAUUUUUGUUUUUAUUCUAUCCUUUAAGGUUUGAUUAAAGCUAGUUGUUUUGAGGGAGUAUGCCUGUCUUAUUGACGUUUUUUUUAUAUUGAUAUAUUUUUUUGUUAAAUUUGUAUGCUAUAUGAAGGAUGGAAUCAACGUAUAGAACAUGGAUUCAUUCAAAGAAAGAGGAAUCUAGCAUGUGGGAUUCCGAGCAACUAUGUCGGGACCUACAUACUGCGCUAGGCACCACCAAAUGGCAGGUCAUCUCUCCCUCUACUCUUUAUUAAAUGUUCUGUUUUAAUCAGCUUAGUUGAGUUUAAUUUGAUCUGGGGUGGGAAAACUCAAUGCAGUUAGAGGAGUUUGCUCGGGCUGUCGGGUCGAGUUAUGUCAAAAGCUCUGUUGAUGAUGCGAGAGACAGGCAUCGUGAUUUUAUUGUCGCGAUCGAAGAUCAUAUUUUAAGAAUAGAAAAUUCGUUAAAGGAAUGUGCCCUUUCAGAGGGCAAGACUUCGUUGCCUUGGGUGCAUUUGGAUGAAGGGGAGUGCAAUGAACUUGCAUUGUUUUUGUCAGGGCCACCAACGACAUCUAGAGAGAAUAUAUCAAAAAAUCAUGUCAUGGAGAGUGGGAUGACACAAGAAGGAGGUGAAGAGUCUACCCCCCAUUCUUCAAAGAACUUGACUAAUUUGGUCAUGUGCUCCUCCUUGGAGCCCAGGGACGAGAAGUUGCAUGGGCAUAGGAGGACGGCUAGUGCCAGUGCUGAUAUUGGUGCGUGGAAAAUUGCUAUAGCUGAAGAUGUUUGCCUGUCUGAUCCUUGUAAUGAGAAGGCCCCCAUCCCACGACCCCCACGAAAGGUACCUAGUUUGUCUGGAAUCGUAUCUUCUAUGGAAUCUGUUUCUAAAUUCAACUGGCCAAAGAAUGGAGUUCGGAAAUGGAAGGCAAUGGAUCGUCAACAAGAAUCUGAUACAAUACCAUUGCAAUCUUCACAGUUAACUAGGGUUGGUGUAUUUCUAUUCUAUUUGACUUGUUGAUUGGGAUUUGCUUCUUGAUUUUCUUAUUAUGUUUCUGUUAUCGUUAAUUAAUAGAAAUGGGUAUUCUUAACUUUUUGUAUAGGGCAUAGAUGCAUGCUAUGAGAAAAGUAAGAGUUGCCUGGAUAGUUAUAAUGAAUGUUAUGACAAGCAAAUUUAUGGCUGGUAUGGAGCUAUGCAGCGCCAACUUCAACGGUCCCAGUAUCAAAUGCAAUAUAGUCGGCCUGUCCAAGCAGCCUUGUCAGUUGUUUUUCUCUUUUGCUUAAUUGGUGAGCUAUUUAGAUUCGUUCAAAUCUUGUUUUGUUGCAUGUAUGGGGUUAUAUAUGUUGCUACAAAUGUGCCACUCUUCAUUUUGUAUUUGUAUUUCCAACAAGCACUCUAGGCUUUACAGCAAUUGGGUUAUAUAUAUAAAUUGAUUGACUUAAAAUAAUUACUGGAUGCAUGUAGCUUGACAAGCAUUUUAAGAGUGUGAUUAGAUUGGAAAAAAUCUCAAGAUUGCAACAAGAUGAGAUGGUGUGGUAUAUAUGAUGUUUAUUACUUUAUGUUCUUUGUUGUUAAUUUUUGGUCGUUGCAUUAUGCUAUCAGGCAUUUAAUUCAUUUUAUUAGAUGAAUAGGUAAUGCAUAGUUCAGGUAGAAAUUAGAAGCUGCUGCAUCAAAUGAUGAUCAUAGGUUGUCUAUCAACUUAAGGACUUUCUAUUUGAAUCAUGUAAUUUUCUGAAUUGGGUGUGCACUUGGGAAUGCUUUUGCUAAAGUUUUUUUAAAAAAACUGAAAAGGAGAAACAAAUGAGCCAUCAUAGGUUUGCUUUUGGGAUUUUGCUUUAUUUUGAAGUCAGUCAUCAUUCAGAGUAGUUUGUUGCCUUUUUAGCACUGCUCUGUGUUGCUUCUUUAGCACUGGAUUGAGUUUGUUCAAUAGUAAUAACCACUUUCAAGUUUGGUAUAAACAGGUGUAAACAAGGUUGAACUGAUAUGCAAAUAAAGCUACGAAGCUUCCCUUGUUUUUCUUCCAAUAUUUACAAUGCAACUGACAUAAUUUUGAGUGGUAUGAUAAGUGAAUAAAAGCAUUCAAACCACCUGUAACUAGUAAUAUUGUUAUGAAUAACUGUUCAUUGUGAACCAAAAUAAAAAUCGUAAAAUUAUGGUAAACUAUCUUUUUUUUACAAUGAGGAAAACAAAACUUGUGAAGACAGCCAUGGACAUAUCUAGAAACCCAUAGCAAUAAAACUUACGAUGGUUCUUUUAUAAAGAUUUUUUGGAUGAUAAAGAAUUUUAGUAUGAGUUUAUUGGUUUAUAGAAGCUUAUGUUUAUUGGUUUAUCUGCAGUCUUAAUUGUGCUACGUGCAAUUUAAGGUGCUGUUCAUCCUACAAAUUACAGCCUGGGGCAAUAAAUGGCUCGGAGGGCAUCACAGUGGUGAUAUGCGGAAAGAUGUUUUCGAGAGAACAAGAGCUUUUCAUUAUUAUCAAGUGACUGGUUCAGUAUAGGUACGUGUUCUCCUGUUAUGCAGUAGCCAGUAUUAUUUCUGUAAAUAAACCCCUUGCUCACCCAUUUUUUCCCCUUCCUGACCACCAUUUCGCUCUUCCUCUUAAAACUUUUGAUUAUGUUGUAUAAUUGUAAGAGCCAAUAGAUGGCGGAGAAAGUUGGCCAGGAACAUUUCUCAAGUGCCAUCUGAUCCUGUAAUACAUCUUUUUUUUUCAAAGCCACUUUGGUGUAGUAUUUUUACAGUUUGGUAAAAAACAGUUCUCUUUUCUUUUUCAAAGCUACUGAGGAAUUUUUAUUUGAUAUGAGCAAAAAACCCAAAAAACUGAAAAAAAAAUAAUCGAAAAAACCGAACUGAGAAAAAAAUUUAAAUUAACCUGAUUAGAAAAGCCAAAAUAAUUUCUGGUUCAGUUCGGUUUGAAAUGUCUGAAACCAAUUGAACUGGAAUAAACUGAAUCGGUUCAACCAUAAUUUUGAAAAGAUAAAAAAGACUAUAAAUAAUCAUUAACCUAAACCAACGCCCACAGCCCCCUCGCCCUUUUAUAAUCAUUAACCUAAAUCAAUGCUUGUAGCUCCCGUUUUCUUUCUCUCAUUUCCUCUUAUCUCUUCAAGUUUAUCCUUGCAUCUUAUCUUCUCCAUCACAUUCUCUUCUUUUCCUGUUAAUAAAUUCAUGAGCUUCACUAUUUACUUCAACCAAGAGCAAUUGCUUCUUCAAAUGACGAUGCCUUUCCUUAAUUGCUUCUUCAAGAUGACUAAGGUUUGACAGAAGUAUAAAUUUGAGCUUUAUUUGGAUCCAACUCAUUCAUUAUGAGUAGAUUUGUUUUCCUUCCAAUCUCAAUUGAUCUCUAGUUUUUAUUUUCCUUGAUAUUUUAUGGGUUUAUGUUUUUUUUAUUAUGUUGUAAUUUGCAACUUUGGUUUUGUUUCUAUUUUAAAUAGAAUUCAAUCAUGUUUUGGUUAUGUAAACUGGAACAAGUUCUCGAACAACAGAAACGAGAUUUGUGUCUUGGUUUUGCUGAUUUUUAAACAACAGAAACUGAACCGAACCGAAACCAAUCGGUUUGAACUGGUUUCAGUUUUCAAUUUUAAAAAAUAAUAAUUUUGGUUUGGUUAAUUUUUUUAUGUGAAAAUUGAACCGAACUAAAAAUGAUGACCCCUAAAUAUAGCUGUUCAUGAAGUGGGGGAAUUGGAACUAUCAAACUACAAUUGGACAUCACCUAGAUUAUGUGCUUAAAGGGAGCCUCUCAAGAUGAGUGAAAAAAUGCGAGAAGGAAAGGAAAUGUUCCUGAUGCAUUUUAUUAACGGUAAGCCUUACAGAGGUAGUUGCUGAUCAAGUGACAGACAACUCUUAAAGAUACCGGUAACCAAAGUAGAAACCAGUAAACACUAAUGGCAGGACGAACUCAAGAAAAGCUUGAUACUUGGGCAUUUUAUCAUCAUCCUUGAUCACAAAGGCACUCAUUUCUUUGUGCUUGGAUUCCACGAAAGAAGCAUACUUGUCUGCCUCAUUGAAAGCGUGACCCUGAAGAACACCAACCUGGUACUUCAGGAGCAAGUUUUGGGCUUCCUUGCUGUGUCCAAUGUUACUGAAUUCCCUCGUCGCAUCCUUUCCUGCAACCUCUACAAGCACCUCUCCUCCUGCUGGAUGCUCAUCCAAGAACUUUGUCACGUCGAGUACCUGUUAAAACGAAACAACUUCAUUACCCGCAAAACAUAAACGGAAAAAUAUAGGAGUAUAUGUUUCCGAAGAGAGGAUUACUCUGCCGUUGAUGACAAACCAGCAAUCUUUUUUGGAUCUGUGUUGGGCCACCUGUGAGAGAGUGAAAGUUUUCUGCCCAGCCAUUUUGCACAUGGGAAUCCAAGAUAGUCGUGCAAGUAAUUUAUAAAAAUGGACGGGGUUAGGUUUUGAUCUUGGUUGGUCACGUGCGCACUAACACCAUGAGUCUGGUCAUUCACGUGUGAUCUAACAUUGUAGUAGUGGUAGCUGAUGCCAUGGUGGCAUCUUAUUUUUCUGGGCUUGUUCGGUACACCUGAAGCCCAAAAGUCCCCAAACCGAAGUGAUUUAAGCAAGAUUGUCGGGGUAAGUUUUUCCAAAGGAUGUGAGGUGCCCAGGUGGAGACCUGGUUGUCUUAUGUUUUGGCCUGAAACACGAGCAAUCCAUGAGAAUUCUUGUCAUGAAGAAAUGAACUGUCUCCUUAAUUACCAAUCCAGCAAAUUAUGUGAUAAUGUUUCCGAAAAAAUAGAGGGGAAACAGUGUGCAGAUUAUCUCGCUUAACUUGGUUCAAGGCAAAUUGUGUCCGUUUGUCUACGUGUUUGUUUGCCUUUCAAGCUUGAAAACAUCAUUUUUUAUGGUUUUCAGCUCCAAACAGUGUAGAAAACGGCCCGGAAGCUUAGAUCUGACACCAGGAAAUUUCUUUAGAAGGGCGUAAUGGUGCAAGAACAGACUAUGCUACAUUCUUUUAUUAGUAGUUCAAAACAGACUGACUGUUCUCAACACAUGAUACAACGUUGUUUCUCCCCAUUGUCCCCAUGGUACAAUCUACAUGGUUCUUAUUUUUGUACAAAAAUCACAUUACCAACAAAAGCCAGCAUGCCCAAGUUUCUCAAGGCACAACCUUGCUAGCCUUCAUCUUCUCUAUCCAAGAAAUGAACGACUUCUUGGAAUUCCUAAACCCCAGGAACCCAUGCUCUUUGCUCUUAUUCAUGCUAGGUAUAGAAACUUCCCCGCCAAAUAUCAAAUCGACAAACCACCACGCCCCCACUUCCUCCAGUUUGGUGGGCAGAAGCUGAUUCUCCCUUACUAUCUCCUCCCAAACUGCUCCUUUUUCUUUCAUCGUCUCUGCCAAGCUUAUCCUCUCCUCUGUCUCCACAAACCCAUACUCCUCUAGUCCAAACUGUUCUCCCAAAACCUUCCACAAAUGCUUCCAUUUAAACACAUCUCCAUUGUGGAUAUUAAAUGCUUCGUUUUUGGCACUAGGAUCCACACACGCCCAAAUUUCAUGCUCCGCGAUGAGAUCAGCAUCUGAGGCGAUUGCGUAACAAUUCCAAACCUCUUUCACCCCAGGAAACCGCAUUAAAGUUCCCUCAUGCUUGCAUAUAGCAGCGUAAACACAAAGAGUGCGAACAAUACUCAUCAAACUAUGAGGCGAGAACCCGAAGAUGUUGUCAGGUCGGUGAACAGACCAAGUCAAUCCUUCUUUCUUUGCCACUUCCUGGAACAGAAUAUCCUCCAGAGUGUAGUAAAAGUUGGGGAAUUCCAAUCUAGGCAGAUCCUCAGUGAAGGGCGGAUCAUGGGCUUCAAUCUUGCCGAAGAACUGGAAGGGCCCAACGUAGUGUUUGGUGCCGGUUUGGAGGCAGAUGUGGCGGAGAUUGUGAGCAUUAAGGAUAACAGCCUCGAGAACAUUGCGGAACAUUAGGCCGUUUAUCUUGCAGUUCUCAGACUCCGUCUCUCGAUUGGCCCAGGUAACAUAAAAGAUGUGAGUAACAUCCGUCAGCAGUGAGAGCUUUGACUGUGUUUGGUUCCUGUCAGAAAUGUCACACUGGAUGUACUCCACUGGGUUGUCUUCAUUCCAGUUAGGCCGCUUACCUCGAGCAACACCAUAGACUUUCCAUGGACCGCCAGGGGUGUCCGCAAGUGGGAGAAUCUCAGCCAAACUGUUGCCAACUAUUCCUGUUACACCCACCACCAGCGCCACACUCUUGUAGUCCCGUGAUGCCUCGUCAUCGUCAUAAAAUUUUUUCUGCAAAAAUUAACACCCCAACACCAUUCAGAUGCUACAUACGUUAACAGAAUCAUACAUAUUUUCAAGUAAAAUAAAUUUAACAGGGGCAAAAGAUAUCGGAGUUGUGUUUCAAUUACCCGGUUAUUGCCAAGGGCACCAGCCCACCAGCAGCUCAUUUUGUUAUCGGAUAAUCGAUAAAGAGACGGAAAAUUCUAGUUAGUGAAAUAUCAAGGAGGCUAGCUGUUGUGAUUUAUAAGAGAGUUCUGAAGAAAAAAGAGCGGGCAGAUGACAUGAGCACUGACGUGUAUCUAGUUGCGUUUAUGAAUUGUGGAAUAGUCUGGACAUGAGAAUAGUUUGGCUGCUGAAAUGAAUACAGUGUCUUGCGUGAUUGUGUAGCUGACGGCUGUGAGGCGAUGGCAAAGAGGCACCGUUGUGAAAUUAAUCGGUUUCAGUAAUGAAACACAAAGUCACUUAUAAUUAUCUCUCUGUAAGCAGGAAAAAAAAGAAAUAGUUCUCAGGAGAAAGGUAUGAAACCCAUAGUUGUAUGACCUUGUUCGGGGUUUGACCCGUAAAAUGAAUCGAGUCAAUAAUUAUCCAGAUUAGUUAUUUGAUUUAGUUGAGUUUGGUUAAGUCAAUUUAAUCGCAAAUCAAUUUACUAGAUUUUUCUAAUUUAAUUAAAUUAAUAUUAAAAUUUAUUUAAAUAAAAAUUUGAGUUAGGUUGACACCAUUUUACUAUGUACCAUUUGAUGGGGGAUCGAAACUUGGAAGCGUUAAAGUGAUGGAAUUUAUCUCUUGUCCACCGCUCUACAUGUAUUUAUGUUCGUCAUUUUAUAUUUUUUGGGUUGGAUAUCAAUACAUGCACAGCUAAAUGUUAACAGGUCAAGGGGGAUUUUGAUCUAGCCCCAUCUCGAGAUUUAGGUUUCGAUCUUCAAGCAAAAUAAAACAAGAAAACACCCAUUAAAAAUUAGCAAUAAUAUCUUUUACUUGUUGGGCCUUUGAUCACUUCGGCGAAGAGCUCGAGAACACAGUCGUCGGCCGACCUCCAAGGAUUUUCUAGUUUAUUUUUUUUUAUUAUUAUUACUGAUAAUUAAGAUAUUUUUUUCUUGGUUGCAUGGCAAAAUUGUACAGAAUCACCUCAAUUAUUGGUUAAUACUAAAUUAAUAUUUGAAAUUAUUGAUCGAAACGCCAUUAAUCUUUCUGUUAAGUCUACUAUCUUUUCGUCCAUUAAUUACCAUAUUUUGUGGUGGUUCUUGCUAAAUUUGCAAACAGAGAAACAGAUUGACCGUGGUUCUUGCUGGAAUCGCAGAGAAAAAGAGAGAGAGAGAAGGGUAAAAUAUCAAUUUUGACGGGUUUUUGUUUGUUGGAAAGGAUUUUUUUAAUCUCCCAACGUUGCUAACACGUGACAUUUUUCUGUUAACAAUUUCACUGAAUCCUGUUUUGAUUUAAGGAUAGAUUAAAUUAAAUAAAAUAGUUUUUCCAGGAAAUAUUAACAUAAGAGCUUCAAUUUAAAAAUCAAUGGUACUUUUACUAAUAAUUAAGAAAUGCUCACGUGUUUAAAGUGGAUCUCGAAUUGUGAUUCAAAAGAACACAUAAAGGGAAAAGAAAAGCAGGUGGGCAUUGAUAUCGGUUCAUAAAAGGAAAAGCGGGGCACCUUGGCAUUAGGAGAUUUCGUGGAUGUUUUCGAAACAUCCAACCCAACAGCAGCAAAUUGUUUUUAUAUAUAUUAGAUGUCUGGUCCACUCAUGUCUCAAUCAAAUAUUUAUAUAACUUAAUCCUAAAAGCUAACUUAGACGUGUUUGAUUCUUGAAAAUCGAUUCUUGAAAAAUUAUUUUUUAAAAUUUUUAUAUGUUAAAAUUAAUUAAUAAAAAAUAUUUUUCGAUCAAUAAAAAAUAUUUUUCAGUUAUAAAAAAUUUUAUUUGGUUUUUAGAAUUUUUUUUUAUUUUAAAUAAAAAAUAUUUUUUAUAUAUAAUUUUAAUUAGCUAGUGUGAUGCCUUGGGAGCAAAAAUUCAAGAUUUUUAGUAGUUCUACGGAGAUAUGCUAUAUAUCGAGGUCAGAUUCUGUGAAUAUUCUAGUGGGAUAGUGAUAGCUUAAAAAAAACUCUGUUGACGUUAAACCAGUAAAAUAACUAAAGGAAGAUAAAAUAUUCGAUUUGACUAUUGAAUUCAGGUCAAAUUUUUAUAGGAAAUUUUUUAAGUUCACAGAGGAUCACUUUUCUUUUUUUAGUUUAACGUGAUGUUUGGAUCAGCUUGCGUAUAUCUCGAUUAAUUUUAUGGGUCCUAAAAUUAACGACUAUGUAAACCUCCAGUGGCCAUCAUAUAAGCAAACACAGGGCUUGAAUCUGAGAUCACAGAGGGAGCAAACCUAUUGGUCCCAAGAUCUUACCACUAGCCACCACCUAGAUGGUUGAGGAUCACUUUUCUAGUCCAUCUGUUACAUGAAUUUUUUUAAAUCAGGUUACAAAGAUUUUGUUUAAUUUAAUUCUGUUAGUUUUUUAUUAUUGUUAUGAAAUCUAGGAUUUAUUUUAGGAUUUAAUUUUUUUAUCUUGUUAAUGUCGAUUUCAAAUAUAUAAAAAAUUAUAAAUAUCAUAUAAAGAUAGAAUUUAUCAUAUUAAUAUUUUUAAAAAAUUCUUUGUGUUUAAAUUAACCAUGUUUCAGCCAAUUUUCUGUUUUUUAUGUUUGUAUCAUAUUGACAAAAAUGGGUGAAAAAAAAUCCCUUUUCUAUAUAGUUUAAAGUAUAGAAAAUUACUAAAAAAUUAUCAUAAAAAAAUUUUAUUUUUAUUUAACCAUUCGAAAAUAUUUUGUCUUAAUUGUUUCCAUUUCAUCAAGGGAUUUUGAAGUUUUAUAAUUGUAAAGAAAGAUUGACUGAUAGUUUGGAAAAAUUAUAUAGUUAUUAAGAAUUUAUGUUCUUACAAACAAACAUGUAAAAGAGAUUAAUAGAAUUUUUAAAUUUCUUGAAAUGGGAUAAUGGAUAAAAUCGGUUAUUAAUUUCUCGAUUUUUUCUUUAUAUUAAAAUUAAAAGGCUGAGGUUCCUAAUAGUUUAUAUAAAAUAACAUCUUGACAACUUAAAAUCAUUUUUUUUAAUGAUCAGAUAUAUUCACACUAAUUUAUAUAUUAAUAAGAAAAAAUAAAUUAUUUUUAAAAUAAUUUUUAAAAUGUAUUGUUCAUAUUAAACUAAUAUACUAAAAUAAAUAAACUUUUCUACCCUGGAAAACAAGAAAAAUAGCAAUCCUUCUUAACCAACGCAUCUAAACCACUACACACAAAUGAUCAUGAGCAGCAAAGAAACAUGCAUCAAUCUUGCCAAGAUGAAACACACAUUGUCGAUAUAAUCUUAAAUGCUGAUACAAAUUAAAAUCGGGUGAAAUUUGAUGUGAGCAAUCCAACCUCUCCAUCAUCCUCUUAUUUUUCGACUCUAGCUUACAGCAAGUUACCAACAUGAAGCAGCUAAUACAAGCAAAAUGGAAAACAAACUACUUCAAUUAGGGAUUAUCUUCUGGGAUCUCAUCUUACCAAUCCAGUGCACAAAUGAUUUGGUGGAAUUCCUAAACCCCAAGAAUCCAUGUUCCUUGCUCUUAUUCAUGCAAGAUAUAAAGGCAUCACCACUAAGCAUGGUGUCCACAAACCACCAGCCCCCAACCUCCUCUAACUUCGUAGGAGACAACUGGUUCUUCUUCACGAUCUCCUCCCACACUGGCCCUUUAUCUUUCAUCCUCUCAGCCAAGGUCUCUCUUUCCCCCCCCUCUUCGAACCCGUACUUUUCUAUCCCGAACUGCUCGGCCAGAACUUUCCAUAAAUGCUUCCACUUGAAGUAAUCUGCGUUGUGGAUAUUGAACGCUUGGUUUUGAGCAUUAGGCUCCACACAUGCCCAGAUCUCCUGCUCUGCCACCAGAUCGGCAUCUGAUGCGAUCGCGUAACAGUUCCACGCCUCUUUAGUACCUGGAAACAUCAACGGAGCUCCCUCGUGCUUGCAUAUAGCAGCAUAAACAGAAAGAGUUACAAUUAUAUUCAUCAAGCUAUAGGGCGAGAAGCCAAAUAUGAUAUCAGGACGGUGAACAGACCAAGUCACUCCCUCUUUCUUUGCCACUUCCUCGAACAUAACAUCUUCCAAAGUGUAGUAAAAAUUGUCUACCUUUAAUCUCGGCAGAUCCUCCGAGUAAGGAGGAUCAUGAGAUUCAAAAUUAUAAAAUGACUCGAAAGGGCCAAUGUAGUUCUUGGUUCCGGUUUGGAGGCAGACGUGGCGGAGAUUAGUGGCGAUGGGGACAACAGCCUGAAGAAGGUUUCGGAACAUGAGGCCGUUGAUCUUGCAGUUCUCUGCUUCGUUGGAUCGGCUGGCCCAGGUGACAUAAAAAAUGUGAGUAACAUCAGUGAGAUGAGAAAGCUUUGAUUUUGCUAGCGCCGAGUCUGAGAUGUCACACUGGAUGUACUCAACUGGGCAGUUCUCAUGCCAGUUUGGACGAGGACGACGGGCCACUCCAUAAACUUUCCAUGGACCGCCUGGUGUGUCGGAGCGUGGGAGGAUUUCUGCCAAGCUGUUGCCGACAAUUCCCGUUACUCCUACUAUCAAGGCCACGCUUCCUUGGCCCCCUUGAACUGCCGGUUUCUUCUGCAAAAUGAGCCAUGACAGGAGAAACAAAUGAGAUCACAAAAAUUAUAAUACUUAAUCAAGUAUGUGUGUGUGUAUAUAUAUCUAAUUAAAUAUGAUCUUUUUUACCCAGGCAGCGCUAAGAUCACCAGCCCACCACCAGCUCAUUUCGUUAUAGAAGAUUGUAGCAGAGGAAGAUAGGAAAGAUGGGUGGUGGGAGUGUAAAAGCAACACUACUGCUGAUAACUUGUCGCAUUAAUGUGGGGCGGUGAUAGGCCCAUUCGCGAUGAGUCUCGAACUUACCAAAUGCCCUUACGAAAUAAAGUCUGAAUCAUGGAGUCAGGACAUCAAUUAUUUUUUAAAUUAGUUAAAUUUGUACCGAUUUCAGUGACGUGAAUUAAGUUUUAAUAUUUUAUUUAUUUUAAUUACAUAUUCAAUUAGAACAAUCUUCAUGUCAUUAAUCGACAACCUCGUGGUAGAAAUAGAAAUAGAAUUCUCGAGACAAACUAAAUGCUGAGAUGAAUUUGACAAGUAGUUAGGUUUAAUAUCGCUGAACUCAUCUCAAUGAUAAGCUUAAAUAUACAUAGAUGAAGUGAUUUGUCAUUUUCAAUAUUUUCAAAUUAAGCCAAGUAUAAAGCUCUAGUUAAUAUAUAUUUUGUGAGCUACCAGACCUAAUAUUAUUGAACUCAGCUAGAAACUGGGCCAACACAUAAAUAAAUUUGAUGAGCUGUUAUACCUAUUACUCUCAAAUUUAGCUAAGCAUUGAGCCUAAAUACAUGCAUUUAUAAAAAUCUUGUCAUGCUUCAUUUUGAAUCAGAGAUAUUUUUUCUUGGACAAUUUAUCUCAAAAUUACAUAUUUAUUUUCAGAGUCUUUCUCUAAAAUAUCAUUAUUUUUUCUUUAAAAAAUUUACUCACUUACUCAUCAGAAAGUCUUCAAAUCCAUAAAAAAAAGAUCUUUACAGGUAUUAGGCACCAACUACUAGCUACCUUGGUUAAGAAGAAUAUAUUAGAUUGCCAAAAAUAAAAGAUUAGUCUAUUAUCGAAUAUAUAAACCUUGUUCUCAAACAACUUUAAUUUUUUGAGACAUCAUCAACUAUAAAAAUAAAAAUUUUAAGAAUGUAAUAAAUCAGAACUCUUGAAAUCAAAAAAGAAGAAAUUCUUUUUUACCAACUUUUAGCAAAUCCAAAACUACCAUAUUUUAUUAAAAUUAAUCACAAAUAUAUUGUCUUGACACUUAGAACAUUAACCGCAACUCUAAACAAGAUUUAAACAAUAAAAACAAUAUUUUUAUGUAUUAAAAAAAAUAAAACUAGAAAACAUCAUAACAUUAAAACAAGUUCAAAAACAUCAAAAGAGGUUUAAAAUUAGUUAUAUAAACUCCUCCCUUUAGUUUUUACAUGGUUAUAUCUUCUCCAAACUUACUGAUUAUAGGUUGUUGUUUUUUCUUCUCUUUUCCUUUCUUAUUUCCCUUUCACUCUCUUUCUUUUCAAAACUUGUUAGACCUUCUAUGUUAAGAUCUUGAACCUUUUUAAUAGGAUAUAUUAAUAGAGUAUUUCCCCACAUUUUCCUCUCUCUUUGUUUCUCUUUUUUUCCUUCUGAUUUCCGGAGAGUAUUUAUAGGGUUUUUUCUAGGUUUUUGAGUAGAUUCCCUCAAAUAUUGAUCAAAUCUUAGCCCUUUAAUCAAAGUGAGGGUUCUAGACAAAAGCUAAUAGCUAGAAGCUUUUGUACUAUGCUGAUUUUGCAUCAGUGGUUUUGAUUUUAGGAAUACUUGAUGGUUUUGUUAGAUUUGACGGUUAAGGAGCUAUUUCUGAAUCAAACCGUGCUCCAUUUGAAAGUCUGUAGCUUCACAUUUAUUUAUUCAAAAGUGUCAACUUAAUCAGUCCAGAAUUUAAAAAUACAAGGAAAGAUGAUUGGGGAUAAGAUGUUGGAAACUUUUGUGGAAGAAUUGGGGUGUAAACAUCCAAUUUUAUAGGCAUGUGGGUUAUAGAGAGGGUGUUUCUCAAUUAAAUGAUGGUGGUUACAACCUUUGAGGUAGUUGGAAAUGCCACAUUCAUUCACCUAAAGAUGUCUACUCAACCAGUCAAGACUGCUAAAAAAAAAAGAUGAAUAGAGGAUGAAUGACAUGUCAUCUAGGUUAAACUCUAGAAAUUUGGGUUCUUUAUUUGGGUUUUGGCAAAGUUUAAUUUAAUCAAUGCUCUUCCAAUUCCUUUUAAUUACAACCAGAAUUAUCUUCUAAAUUUUAAUUGCAUACAAUUAUAUCCCUACUAAAUUUAAAUAUCAGCCUCAAAGUUCAACGUCUUUUACAAACAAGUCUUGGUUUUUAAUUUGUUCAAUUUCAUCUAUAAUUAACCAUUAAAAUUUUAAUUUCUUUCAAUUUGACCUCUAAUUUCAUCAAUUUCUACCCAUGAAAUUGAAUGCCACCUACAAGUCGAUCCUUGCUCUUGGGAAUCUUCAAUUAAGUUCUUAAUUGACCUCCAAACUCUAAUAUUAUCACAAUUAAACCUCUUAUUUGACUAAUUAAACUUUUCAAAGUUCAAUUUCAGUUUUUAAACUUUAAUUUCUUCUAAUUAACACUGAAAUUGACUCAAAAACUGUUUUUCCUUGUAAUUAAGUCUUCAAUAAAAUUAAUUAAGCCUUAUAAAUUUCUUAUUAAGUCCUUAACCCUUCAAAUUUAUAUUUCUCUACUCUAAAUAAAAAUAUUUCCAUCCAAAUUGAUCCGAGUUUUGUGGUUUCACCACCGCAAUGACGUGAGAAAGCAUUGGAUGGUUUGAUGUAGAGGUAAUCAAAGAAGAUUUGCUAUUAGGAUUCAAUGAUUUGGUAAAAAUUAAUCCAUCUUAUUUGAAGAUAAUUAAGGGUUAUACAUGCCCAUGUAGCGAGUAGUUGGAGCAAAAGAGUCAUUUGCAAACUGGUAAGAAAAAUGAAGCCCAACAAGAAAUAAUUAAUACAUAGUGUGGAAGAUUCAUUGAAUUCACAGGUCUUUGUCAAAGAAAAGCAGACAGUAGAGCCAAUGUCAUGUUAAGAGGCAUCAAGAAAUGUCCAGUGACAAGAACAAGAGAAGAAUUCUCACAUCGAAGCAAAGUGAGACAAGGAAGUUCGAGGAGAAACCACCAGACGAGUUGAUAAAAAAAUACAAGUCUCUUCAACUGAUUGAAAAAUUCAUACAACAACACAAGAUGAAUCUAUUAAUUGGUAAGCAGAUGCUAGCUGGAAGCGUUGGAAGAGAAAUGCGAGGGAUGCUUUCCCACACGAGAGCAUGACGCAGCAGAUUAAAAUGGUGAAGAGCUUGCCCAAAGAACAACGUGAAAGCAUUCCUUUUGCUGUUUUCAAAUUUUCUUCCUGUAAAACCAACCUGACAAGGGAGUAUUCAAGUUUUGUCCUUCAUCGAAUAGUCAAACAUGUAGGUACAAUUUUAGAAAUAUAUUUCGAAUUAUCUCAAAAUACCUUGAAAAUAAAGCAUGUUAAGUCUCAACCUCCUCUUUUUUCAAUGUUUGCUGCUCGAAUAAAUGUUAGUUUUUCUUCCGAACAAACUAUAAUACGUUGAAAAUAUAUGCGAAUUAAGUUAAAUCAAAUAAUUUAUUCAAAAAGUACUCGUAUUAAAUUUUUAAUUUAAAGAUUAAUGAUAUUGUGACUAAUAAUCGAGAAGGAUUUUAUACUAUUUAGCCCAACGCAAACGCAAGAGUAGACAUAUAACUUGGAGUUAUUAGGUAAUUUUCAUUUUCAAACACGAAAGGCUCCCUGCUCGAGUACUGUUUUAAAAGACACCCCAUCUUGUGAUUCAAAAGCAAACAAAAGAAUCCAUUAAGGGAAAAAGAAAAGCAGCUCCCCUUGGAAUUACAUGACUCCUUGGAUAUACUUCGAACAUCCAACGAUACCACUUCCAGACACGGAGAUGUUUGGUGGAUGUCGGACUCAUCGUGACUUAACCAGAUGAUACAUGUAGUGUGUAAUUGUCGUCUCGAGAUAAAAACAAAAGGUCAAGAUCGAGGCAAUAUUUUUUUUUGUUUUUUCUAUUUUUUUUAAAUAAAAAUUCACUAUAAAUCUUUUUCAUAUACAAAUUUAUUUUAGAUUUCUUUCCUUUUACUUUCAAUCAAAUAAGUGUUAUCCUUUUUCUUUGAAAAGUCGCUUAUGUCUUGGAUACUACUUGAACACAAUUUCAAAGUGAUUUUUUAGUAUUCUUUGAGAAAAUAGAUAAAAAUAGAAAAGACAAAUACAUGUUUGGUUUGCUUUGUUUCAAUUUUUUUUUUAAGUGCUAAGGUAGUAACCAAAUGUUAUUCUUGGAUUAAGGGAUUUCAUGAGGUUUUAUAAUUGCAAAGAAAGCUUGUUUGAUGGUUUGGAAAAAAUUAUAUAAUUACAUUUUUUACAAAGACACAUGCAAAAGAUAUUAAUAGUAAUUCUUAUUUUAAUGAAAGAGAUUAAUGGAUAAAAUUGGUUCUUGGUUCUGUGUUUUGGUUUUUUUUUACCUCACUUAUAAAGGUAGUGUUUAAGAGUGCUAUAAUUUUUUUUUAAUUAUAUUUUAAAAAUACAUUUCACAUUAAAAAACAUCAAAUUAAUUUAUAUUUGAUAUUUUUUAGUCCAAAGUAUUCUGCAUCAUAGUAACAACCAGUUAUUCCUGGCCGGACACCGAAUAUGAAAAAUGAUUCUUUUUUAAAUAUGGUAUGGUUUUUUUUUUUUGGUUAGAAAAAACUCAAUUUCCACGAUUUUGCACAAUUCAUUUUAGAUUUGACAACAAACAAAGAAGGAAAAUAUAUAAAAGAAUAAUAUAAAUCAUAUCUUAAACCUUACCUAACAGCUUAAAUUUUUUGGUUGAAAUUAUUUUUUGACAUGAUAUCAAAACCUUGAUGACCAAGCGGUCUAGAGUUUAAAUCUCAUUAUCCUAAUUUAUUUAAUAAAAAUUAAGUAAAUGGUAAUGUGAACCUGUGUAAGUUUCAAGCUUAAAAGGAUUUCACUUAAUGAUGUGUGUUAAAGAAUAAUAUAACUCAUUUCUAAAAACCUCACUUAACAAUUUAAACUUUUGAAUUGAGAUGGUUCUUUGACAGAACAUGCAUUUUGUUUAUCAUUUUGAAUAUAAAAAACAACCUGACAACUUGAAAUUAUUUUUUGAAUAAUUAGAAACAUUUUAAAACAACUUUAUACAUUAAUAAAAAUGAAAAGAAAAGAAAUAAUUUUAAGAAUGUACAACUCUGGAAAUAAAAAAGAGGAGCCAACCUUUUUUACCACUAUACCUGAACCAUUGAAAACAUAUAUUAUAUUAAAUAUCAAUCCAAAAAUUUCUCACCACCUACCAUUCUUGAAUUAUAUAGAAGACUCCCAUUAAAUAUCUAGUCAUUCUUAUCAACUCAAGGUAGGAAAUAUCUUAUCUCCAGAAUUACUAGUAGGCUAGCAAAAUAAAAAUAAAACUACAGUACUCUGGAAUUGUCUUAGAUUAUAGGGGUGUGCAGGGGAGAAGUGUCCAGGUGCAAGAAGUGCAGGGGAGAAGUGUCCAGGUGCAAGAAGUGCAGGUGUAAGAGUGCACGCGCGCGCGCGCGAGUGGCGAGAAAAAAAGAGUUUGGUGGUGUGAGGAAUAUUAAUAAAAGAAGCGUGAAUUGUGAAUCAGUGCGAAACAUCAUUAAUCAUGAUCAUUAUUGUCCUAAAAAUUCAACAAGUAUUAUCAGAGUUAUUGCCUAUAAUUCAUGCCCAAUAAUUAAUACCAGGGCUUAUCGAUCAACGAAAUAUCAAAACUGGUGGUCAGAGACUACGAUAAAGUAGCUAGCACAAGUGUUUACUCGAUUGUGAAGUUUAGAGGUCAGGGACCUAUCAGAGCUUGCGGUUUGGGAUCAUCUUUUUAUUUUGCCGAUUGGAGAUCAUAACUAUUGAGGAAUCAUUAGAAGAGGCUCUGCUUUUUUGGGAUCGUUUUUUUUAUUCUUAUACAUUAAUGUAAAUUAAAUAAUCUUAAGACGGGACCAAAUCGAGGAGCAAUCCUUUUUUACCACUAUAUCUAAACCAUUAAUCAGAAUCAUGAGUAACAAAAAACACAUUUAUUAAUCUUGCCAAAAUACAUAUUAUUAAUAUUGCCAACCAUUAAAAUUGGGUGAAUUUUUAUGCGAACAAUCCACCUCUCCCUCGUAGCUCUUAUUUUUCAACACUACCAGGCAGCAAGUUAUCGACAUGCAGCGGCUAAUUAUACAAGCAAAAUGGAAAACAAACUUCUUCAAUUAGGGAUGACCUUCUGGGAUCUCAUCUUACCAAUCCAGUGCACAAAUGAUUUGGUGGAAUUCCUAAACCCCAAGAAUCCAUGUUCCUUGCUCUUAUUCAUGCACGAUAUAAAGGCAUCACCACUAAGCAUGGUGUCCACAUACCACCAGCCCCCAACCUCCUCUAACUUCGUAGGAAACAACUGGUUCUUCUUCACGAUCUCCUCCCACACUGGCCCUUUAUCUUUCAUCCUCUCGGCCAAGGUCGCUCUUUUCCCCCCCUCUUCGAACCCGUACUUUUCUAUCCCGAACUGCUCGGCCAGGACUUUCCAUAAAUGCUUCCACUUGAAGUAAUCUGCGUUGUGGAUAUUGAACGCUUGGUUUUGAGCAUUAGGCUCCACACAUGCCCAGAUCUCCUGCUCUGCCACCAGAUCGGCAUCUGAUGCGAUCGCGUAACAGUUCCACGCCUCUUUAGUACCUGGAAACAUCAACGGAGCUCCCUCGUGCUUGCAUAUAGCAGCAUAAACAGAAAGAGUUACAAUUAUAUUCAUCAAGCUAUGGGGCGAGAAGCCAAAUAUGAUAUCAGGACGGUGAACAGACCAAGUCACUCCCUCUUUCUUUGCCACUUCCUCGAACAUAACAUCUUCCAAAGUGUAGUAAAAAUUGUCUACCUUUAAUCUCGGCAGAUCCUCCGAGUAAGGAGGAUCAUGGGAUUCGAAAUUGUAAAAUGACUCGAAAGGGCCAAUGUAAUGCUUGGUUCCGGUUUGGAGACUCACGUGGCGGAGAUUAGUGGCGAUGGGGACAACAGCCUGAAGAAGGUUUCGGAACAUGAGGCCGUUGAUCUUGCAGUUCUCUGCUUCGUUGGAUCGGCUGGCCCAGGUGACAUAAAAAAUGUGAGUAACAUCAGUGAGAUGAGAAAGCUUUGAUUUUGCUAGCGCCGAGUCUGAGAUGUCACACUGGAUGUACUCAACUGGGCAGUUCUCAUGCCAGUUUGGACGAGGACGACGGGCCACUCCAUAAACUUUCCAUGGACCGCCUGGUGUGUCGGAUCGUGGGAGGAUUUCUGCCAAGCUGUUGCCGACAAUUCCCGUUACUCCUACUAUCAAGGCCACGCUUCCUUGGCCCCCUUGAACUGCCGGUUUCUUCUGCAAAAUGAGCCAUGGCAGGAGAAACAAAUGAGGUCACAAAAUUAUAAUAAUUAACCAGGUAUAUCUAAUUAAAUAUGAUCUUUUUUACCCAGGCAGCGCUAAGAUCACCAGCCCACCACCAGCUCAUUUUGUUUUGGAAGAUUGCAGCAGAGGAAGAUAGGAAAUGGAGAAGACAGUAAAGACAGCUACUGGGAGUGUAAGAGCAAGUGAAAGUAGUAACCAACAACCUGUGGCUUGGAUCUUCCAAGUUCUCGCAUUAAUAAGAACUGCUUUGCUUUUGGUGGUGUCGACGUGUCGUGUUUCUUUAAAAAACAAAUUUUAAAUUGAAUUUGUUUUUAAAAUUAAUAUUUUUUUUUAUGUUUUAAAAUUAUUUUAAUAUAUUAAAAUUAAAAUUAAUUUUUAAAAAAUAUAAUCACUUUAAAAAAACAAAUAUUAUUACAUUUUCAUACACCCACUCUCCAAUAAUGACUCUUCUAAAGUCAUCUCAAAUAAUUGCUCUUCUAAAGUCGUUGUGCUGAAAUGCCGACGUGGCAUGAAAUCAAAAGUUAGAUAAAGUAAGGAUGAGAUCAGUUACCUGAUUCUCCUUUAUAAUACGUUUUUUCUCUCUAAAGAAUAGCAAUUUUUUCCAAUUUAUUUAUUGUUAUUUCUUAUAUAAAUAGUUAAUUUCUUUAUGGAGACAAGUUAUGUAAUACUUAUCUUUUUUAUAAUUUUUUUAUUACAUAAAUUCUUAAUAACAUAUUUUUAUCGGUUUCAUCUUGCGUUUUCUCGUUGUUUAUAACAGUACUCACGCACCAUAACCAUUAUUUUCUUUUACUUGUCACAUGUGGUAUUGCAACCUAUAAUUUUCAGGAAUUUUUUUUUUUAAUUUGCGUUAUUUUAAAGGACAACUAGGGAAAUUUUCAUGCUGUUAGGGAAGUAAUUAGUACCGUACAAAUAGUUAUUUUUUUGGAAUUUAAAAUAUAAAAUUCAUAACUCCUAAAAAAUAAUAAAAAUAUUUCUAUUCAAUAUUUUUCUUUUAAUUGUAUCUCUGUUUCUUUUAAUUUUAUUUCAAUAAAUAACUAAUAAAAUGUUACUAAAUAAUUCACAGUCACUAUAAACCAAUUAGUAACUGAGUUUGAUAAUAUCUGCCGCUUCUUUAGUUCUUACUGUGAGAUUGACAAUAUUUAUAUAAUAUUUAUUAUUGAUAGAAUAAAAUGAUUUAAAUAAAGAAAAAGAAAACUGAUUCCAAUCUUUCUGUCACGUGUUUUGUGCAGUCGUCCUGGAAAAUGAUGGUACCCUUCCCCACCAUUUCCAUUUCCACUAACCUUGAGAAAUGCCGUGCUACAUUAUUACUUGAUUUUUUUCAUAAAAUAUUUUUUAUAUUAAUUUUAUUUUUUAAAUUUUCAACUAGGUAUUUUUAUACGUAAUCUUGUUUAAAUUUUGUUUCUCUUUCUUAAAAAAAACAUUGUUCUGUGAGGUAUUUAAUGUUUCAUGCAAGUAAUUUUAAUAUAAGUUCUUAAUUAAGAAAUCAAAAUAGUAUGAGAGUAAAAUUAAUAUUAAAAAUAUUUUAAAUAUAUAGCUAAAAUUACCUCAACAAUUUAAACAUAUAAAUUUAAAAUUUUCUUUUAUGAUUAUAGAAACCUCAACAAUUAUAAUUUAAUAAAUACUUUGUUACCUUAAAAAUCAAAUAAUACCACUCUUAUACUAAUAAUAAAAGUGGUGACCCAGUGAUAAAAGUUUGGGACCAAGAGGUUUGCUCCCUCUGUGGUCUCAGGUUCGAGCCUUGUGGUUGCUCAUAUGAUGGUCACUGGAGGCUUACAUGGUCGUUAACUUCAGGACCCGUGGGAUUAGUCGAGGUACAUGCAAGCUGGUCCGGAUAUCCACGUUAGACUUAAAAUAAAAAAAAAACUUGAGUUACUAAAAAAAGAAUUUUGAAAAGAGCACACAAACAUGCUUUUGUCCGCUUGACCGCAUUUAAUCCAUGCAAUCCUGAAAACCAAUCGUUUCGCCACGUCAAGCCUUAUCUUAAUUCUCUCAAAUUUGAUCACUCUUUGCGUGUUAAGUACAAGACAAAGAUGAAUGGGGAGCCUACUUUUCAGAAUGUGGAACAAUACGGUAUCUGUCAUGUACCAUCCAUGAUGGCUUUAGUUGACCGGUCUUCGUUGCAUUGGAAAUUUCCGGAAAUUUGAUGUUACUACGUGGAUUGAUAUUGAUGAGUUGCCUAGUGUUGCUAAGUUGGAAGGUUAAUUGUAUCAUUAUAUUUGGGUUUUUUAUUUAUUAAUAUGGGUGUAUGGGUCAUUUUGGACGUAUCUUGACUAAUCUCACGGGCCCUGAAGUUAACGACCUUGUAAGUUUCUAGUAGCCCUAAAGUUUGUGGGACUCCAACUUGUGACCUUUAAGAAGGAAAUUCAAGAUCUGACUAAUUGAGCUACAUCUCUCAGGGUUAUUGUUUACUUGCUUUUGAUGGUUGAGUUUGUUGUUGUAUUUAGCUAUUAAAAAAUCAAACUUGUAGAACUAAAAUCCAAAGUUUUAAAAGUUUAGGAGUGUUAUAAGCUUUUAAGUUUUUUUAAGAGUCUAUUUGUCUUUAAAAAAUAUUAAAUUAAUUUUUUAAAAAAAAUAAAUAAUUUUGACGUGUUGGUGUCAGAAAAAAAACAUGAAAAAAAUAUUUUAAUAUAUUUUUAAAUAAUAAUCACUUUUGAAAAAUAACAUAUAACACACAUACAUACAUCGUAAUACCAACCUCAAACUAAAAAUUUUAUAGUUGGCAACACCAAAGAUGUAAUGUUGCUAUGCCUCUUAUAUUGCUACUUACACAUUAUAAUUUACAACUUGUUAAUUCAACGCAUGUUUCGCUUUGUGAUGAGUUAUAAUUUUUUUUGUCAAAAACAAUAUCGGGUAUGCAUGUAAUUUUAAUGUCUUUUUAUAUGAAAAAAUCAAAGUGUAAAUCAAAAAACCCAUGCAAACAAGAUCUAGGUAAAAACUCAAAGGAUGUUGGGUCUAGUAGUCUUGUCAGACUCAUGUAUAUUUGGACUGAGCGCUUAGCUAAGUCCGUGUAUGUUUGGACUCAACACUUGACUAAGUUUAAGUAUGUUGGGUCUGCCAGCUCCGUCAUACUCAUAAAUGCUUGGGCUCAAUGCUUGGCUGAGCGUUUAAGAUUUGUUUGGGCCAUCACCUGGCCCCUAGUUCUUCUCAAUGAGGAUUUAGGUUAAAAAUAACAUAUUGAAAAAUAUUAACCCAUCAAUUACCCCGAGUCUGUGUGUGUUUAAUAUGCAAAGAUUUUAAAGGUCAAGAUCUGUUUGUCCCACAUAUAAUUUAUCAUUUUCAAGGUAAAUUGUGCAAUCGCACUAGAAAAAUUAAGUCUAUUCCAUCCUUGGAAGGUUGUGAGGCUGUUAGGGUCAUCCAGAGAAGAAAUGAAAAUUGUUAUUUUGAAUAAUUCAUGCAUGUAUAAAAAAAACGUACAUUUUUUAUUUUCAUUAGCUUAUUGGCCAUGGUAAUUUUCAUUUGACUAGAGUGCUAGAUGUGAAAAUGACUUUUUAUUUUCCUUUUUAUAGUUGCUAAAAUUAUUUCACAUAUUGUAUGAUUUGAAUUACCAUCCCACUUUUACUUGUUAGAGGCUUUUCAAAACCUCGAGGCCCCAACUGUAUUUUGUAAAGUUGGCAAACACAUAAUCCAGAUUUGCUUGUCUUACCAAGUCUAUAGGUAAGUAGAAAAAAUCAUGCUCUAACUUAGGACAAUCAAAUUACUAUGUAGCAUUCUCUGCUCCAUAUUAAAAAGUGUUAAAGCUUUGAUGGAGCAGAUAUGACAGUGAUUAUAAGGAGGUCUAUAACGCGUCCCUUUCUAGAAGUGUCGUGAUUAUCUACAUUGGAUAAUGAUUGGGAGUGUCAAUAACAAGUUCUAAAAGAACAUUUGAUGGCUUUUUAAACAUUUUUUCACAUACUGUGCCAAUGAUGAUGUUGGAAAAAUUCAAGUAACUUGAGAGCAAGGCUUUUUGCGUUGGAUAAAUGAAUAAUCUUUUGAUUCUAGGAGUUGGAUUCUUCUAGGAGUUGGAUUCACUCUCCCUAGUAGAAGCGGACGAUAUCAAAUACCAAGAGUUUUGAUAACUAAAGUGGCUAAUGAUUGAUACUUGUAAAAAAGUCCCCUUUCCUUGGAUUUGGAGACUUUCUAAUGCUUAAGUAAUUAUAUUUUUAGAGAGAAAAAUGAUGAGGCGCAAGAUAUUUUUCGAAGAAGAUCUUGUAGAGAGAGAGACUCCCAAAAUAAGUAUCCAGAAAAUAUUAAAAACUUGGAGAUAUUACCCCUUUUUGCGUAUACCUCACCUUUUAUAUGGUUCGUCAUUCCUAUUCUUUUAUGGAGAGAAGGGCUUAAAUGUCAUAUUUUUUUAAUAGCAUCAAAUAUAUAUAACUUUAUUAGAAGGAAAAUAUCUCUGACUUUAUUGGAGGGAAAAUCAAUGAUUGGCAGAGCUAAAAGAUGUUGGGUCUAACAUUUUUUGUGAGAUCCACAUAAUCCUGGGUUUAGUGCUUAGUGCUUGGUUGAGCACAAAGAUGCUCAGUCUAGUAGCUUUGGUAAACUCAUAUAUGUUUGGGCUCACCGUUUGGCUGAGUCCAAGAAUACUGGGUCUGUUAGUCUUACCAUACCCAUAUAUGUUUAGGCUCAGGAUUUUGGGUUUGGUAGCCUAGCUAGCCUCAUGUAUAUUUGAGCUCAACGCUUAACUAAGUCUAAAAAUAUCGAGUGUAACAACUUUGUCGGACUCAUAUAUGCUUAGACUCAGCACUUGGCUGAGCUCAAGGUUUGUUUAGGUCAUAUUGUUAUGUGUGUUUUAUGUACUUAUUGUAUUAAAAAAAUUAAAUGUUUUAAUAACAUAUAUAUAUAUAUAUAUAUAUAUAUAUAUAUAUAUAUAUAUAUAUAUAUAUAUAUAUAUAUCAAGUUAGGUUCAAAUGAAUUUUGGAUCGAGUUUCACAAAAUUUAUACAAUAUCUACUAUUUAUUGGAUAAAAUGAUCAUAAAAAAUAAUAUUCACUGGUUUAGAUUGGACCGGGUCAGGUCGGUGCAUGAGUUUGGAUUAAAUUGGCAUCCUAACAACAUCAUGUUUAAGCCACGUUAUUGCUGCAAUAUAGCUCGAUUUUUUUAUAUAAAACACUUUUUAUAUUAAUUUUAUUUUAAAAUUUUCAACUACGUAUUUUUAUUUGUAUUUUUGUUUAAAAUUUAUUUCUCUUAUAAAAAAACAGCAUUGUUUUAUAAGGUAUUUAAUGUUUUAUGUCAAGUAAUUUUAAUAUAAAUUAUUAGUUAAAAAAUCAAAAUAAUAUGAAAUUAAAAUUGAUAUAAAAAAUAUUUUAAAUAUAUAACUAAAACAAAUCAAUAAUAUAAAUAUAUAUUUAAAAAUUCCUCUGAUAAUUAUAGUAUUUUCAAGUUUGAGUUAUUAAUUUACUGAUUAAGUGUACUUUAAUAAUUUGUUUUAUUAGUCAAUAAUUUAAUUAAUUACAUCAUAAUUGUGUUAAAUAUUAAUUGUAUGUCAUAAUUGUAAUUUAAUAAAUACUUUGUUACCUUAAAAAAUAAAAUAAAUACCACUACCAAUACUAAUAAUAAAAGUGAAUUCAAACCAUCUAGGUGAUGGCACAGUGGUAAGAGCUUGAGACCAAAAGGUUUGCUCCCUCUGUGGUCUCAGGUUUAAGCUCUGUGAUUGCUCAUAUGAUGAUCACUGGAGGCUUAUAUAGUCGUUAACUUCAAGUCCUAUAUGAUUAGUUGAGGUACGCACAAGCUGGCCCGGACACCUACAUUAAACUGAAAAAAAAAAAAAGUGAAUUCGAGAAAAGAGUUUCGAAAAAAGAAUUUUGAAAAAAACACAAACACAUGCUUUUGUCCGCGUGAUCGCAUUUAAUCAUGCAAUCCUGAAAACCAAUCGUUUCGCCACGUCAACACCUUAUCUUCACGUUAUCUUUAUUCUCUCAAAUUUGAUCAUUCUAUGCGUGCUAACUAUAAUUUAAUUUAUGUAAUUUAAUAAAACUUAUUAAUUGAUCAUUAUCUUAUUCAUUUUUUUUUUAAUUUAAUGUUCGUUUUCAAUUUCUUUCCUUUUCGAAGAAAUAUAAAAAAGGAAACGAGAAGUAGAUAAAAGGAAAAAUAUGGGCAAGGAGAGGAGGUAUUUUUUUAACAAAAAAUAUUUAAUCAACCCAUGAUUAAUGCUGAUAAAAAACUGAGUUGUUAAACUUUAUAUUACAUGGAUUAAUUAAUUAUUUAUGAUAAGUUAUAAAGAUUAAGUCAUUACAAACUCCUCUUUCCCCUUGAAUUUUCUAUCACUAUAUGGUAUAAUGACUUAAUUGGUGACAAAAUGCAUUCAAAUCACAAGCUAAUUUUUUAUGCCGACGGCGUCGAGUAAUUUAACACACAUCUAGAAUUAAACUACAGACUAAUUUUACACAAAUCAUGAAUUAAGCUGCUGAAUUUUUAUUUUUUUUUUAUAAUCGUGAGUAUCAGAGUUAGCUUACGCAUACUUUGACUAAUCUCUCGAGAUCCUAAAAUUAACGACCAUAUAAAUCUCCAGUGGCUGAGAUUUAUAACACUUGAAUUAAUGAUUUUUAAAAAACAAAUUAAGAAUAUGACCAAUUAAGUUAUAUCUUCAGGAUAAUUAAACUGCUCAAAUUCUUGUUUUUAUUUGUUAGUGUUUUUACAUAUUUCUAAAAAUUAUAUUUAUUUUUAAAAAACAUAAAAAUUAUAUUUUAAUAUUUAAAGUAAAAUAUAUUUUUAAAAAAUAGUUUACAGAUGGAUCCAAGUGAAAUGAAUGAUUGGAAACAGGUUGAAAAUACUAAAAUAUCUUGGGAUAAUUUUUUAAUGAUUAAUAGAAUCUGAAAAAAAUCAAAUUACCCUUUGUUCCUUAUAACAAAGGCUUUUAUUUUUUUCCACCCAGAAAUAAAAUGAUAAUUUCACUCCACAGUAAAUCUUUUCUAGCACUACAACGAAAAAUCCAAGCCCUUGGCAGCAAGCAAGAUAAAAUCAACUAAAUUAUUAGGGUUUUACAGGGAGAUAGAAUUAGACCAGCUCCAAAUGCAAUUUGACUCGAUUACAAACAUAGUUGCCAAUGCGGUCUGGCAAUUUAACCAUGACUCAAAACUUGAUCCCGGGUUGAAUUUUAAUAAUCCAAUCAACUCGAAUAAACCCGAUAGAAUCAUUUACAAGACAGAAAAAAAUAAAAUAAAAUAACAGACACAUGUUUAUUCAAUGCCGGCGAGUUGAUUCGACAACCUAAUACAGCAGGGUUUUUUUAUCAAUUCCGAAUCAGGACGACAAUGUGAUUACAAUCCUUGAUACAGAACAAAAUGCCUCCAAUCUCCAAGUUUAUUCUCAAAAACAGAUAUAACACCACCCGUAUCAAGGCACAACCUUGUAAUCUUUCAUCUUGUCUAACCACGAAACAAAAGAUUUCUUGGAAUUUCGAAAUCCCAAAAAUCCAUGUUCCUUGGUCUUGUUCAAAUUCGUGACGAUACCCGGACCACCGAAUAUCAAAUCUGCAAACCACCAUCCUCCAACUUGCUCCAGCUUGUUUGGCAGUAGCUGAUUCUUCUUCACAAUUUCCUCCCACACUGGUUCCUUAUCUUUCAUCGCCUCGGUGAAUGUUAUACUACUCUCCCCCUCUUCAAAUCCAUGUUCUUCGAUCCCAUAUUCUUCUGCUAAAAUCCUCCACAAAUGCUUCCAUUUGAACAGAUCUCCGUUGUGGAUAUUAAAAGCUUCAUUUUGUGCAUUAGGAUCCACACACGCCCAAAUUUCAUGCUCUGCAAUCAGAUCUGCAUCAGAAGCAAUUGCGUAACCAUUCCAAGCCUCUUUUGUUCCACGAAAGAUUAAAGGAGCUCCCUCGUGCUUGCAUAUUGCAGCGUAAACAGAAAUAGUGACAAUCAAAUUCAUCAAGCUAUAAGGCGAAAACCCAAAGAUAACAUCAGGCCGGUGAACGGACCAAGUCACUCCUUCUUUCUUUGCCACUUCCUCGAACAUAACAUCUUCUAAAGUGUAAUAAAAGUUGGGAGCAUUUAAUCUGGGCAGAUCUUCCGUGAAAGGUGGAUCAUGAGCUUCAAUCUUGCCAUACAGCUCAAAAGGACCCACAUAUUGUUUCCCUCCUGUUUGGAGGCAGACAUGGCGGAGAUUGGGAGCGUUUGGUAUAACGGCCUGGAGGACGUUACGGAACAUGAGACCAUUAAUCUCGCAGUUCUCCUCCUCUGUGGGUUUACUGGCCCAGGUAACAUAGAAGAUGUGGGUCACAUCAGCCAGCUUAGAAAGCUUCGAUUGGGUUUCGGCGGUAUCGGAGAUGUCGCACUGGAUGUACUCCACCGGAUGAUCCUCGUUCCAGUUGGGGCGUGAACGUCGGGCCACGCCGUAAACUUUCCAUGGGCCACCAGGUGUGUCGGAGAGUGGGAGAAUCUCCGCCAAACUGUUGCCGACAAUCCCCGUAACUCCUAAAAUCAGGGCCACGCUUUGGUAACCUCGUGGUGCUUCAUCUUCUUCGGAUCUUUU
Molecule: long non-coding RNA, 53162 nt
Filed under: Populus trichocarpa (black cottonwood)
Lineage: Eukaryota; Viridiplantae; Streptophyta; Magnoliopsida; Malpighiales; Salicaceae
Description: long non-coding RNA (PTRI_LNC003193)
Source: RNAcentral